RNAcentral lists this long non-coding RNA (53495 nucleotides) under Ananas comosus (pineapple). RNAcentral describes it as "long non-coding RNA (ACOM_LNC029673)". Lineage: Eukaryota; Viridiplantae; Streptophyta; Magnoliopsida; Poales; Bromeliaceae. The record is from RNAcentral.
AAUAGUAAUAAUCAUUAUUAUUAUGAGUAGAGCUACUAUGCUAUCGGAAGCAUAAAGUGGUUAAUGCUUCCGAUUUUUUAGCCCUUAGAUCAACCCCAUUGAUCAUUUCUAACUAUUAGAUUAAUAUUAUUAACCAAUGGGGACCACUCAACCCUAGGGAGACCACUCAACCUUAAGAGGACCGCUAUCAUUUCAACCGUAGAAUUUUUGAUCCACGGGCUAAAAAAUCGGAAGCACCAACUACUUUAUGCAUCCGAUAGCAUAGUAGCUCUACACUUAUUAUUAUUAUUAUUAUUAUUAUUAUUAUUAAACUGUUAUAAUUAUUAUUAUAUAUUAUAAGAUAUUUUAAUAUGUUAUAAAAAAAAUAUAUAAUACUAGUGUAGUUAUCCGCGCGAUGCAGCGGGUAGAUAUUAUCGAAAUAAUUAUUUUAUUUAUUAUCAUUAAUCAUCGAUGAUAGCCUGAAAAAAUAAACCUGAAAUAUACAAUUUAUCAAAUAUGUAAAAAAUAUUACUCUAACUAUAAAAUAAAGAAUAUUAAUUUAAAUAAUCAGCAAGAAUCAAAUUGGUAAAAGAGCAACAAUAACACAAAGCUGCUAUAACUACUGCAAUAGCAUUUCCAACAAACCAUUAUCUGACUCAUUGCUUUCUUGGUGAGGUGGUUCAUACUUUUUUUUCUAUAUCCUAAAAGAAAGCAAGUAAUUUAUUAACUGAAGUAGACACAAUAAAAAGAAUUUUAUCAUAUCAAGAGGUAAAGUUACAGCAUGAAAUGUAACCACUUUCGAUCUAAUUUUUAAACAAAUUAAUUGAGCUACUAAUACACCUUAGGAUUGGUGGAUAAAAUACUUGGCUUGAAAUCAUAGAUUCAAGGGUUUGAGCUUCCGUGGCUUAGAAAACCUACAGACGUCAAUGUGAAUUAUAUGAAAUGCUCUAUUCACAUUAUAAAAUAAAUAAAAAGUAGAGGCGUAAGUAGGUUGCGUCAGAUUAGUCUUAGGAAUUGCUUCUAAUAUUUUUUUUUCUUAAAGAAAAAUUAGAUGUAUACUCAGAACCUAUAAAGAGAAUGGAAGAGAAGAGCACGAUCCAAUUUGGACUAGCUUGAUAUUUUUUCAUAUUUAUAUAUUUUGAAUCUUACAUAUAUUUUAUAUCAAAUUAAAAAUAUAUAUAUAAUUAGUUAUUCAAAUUAUUCAUUUUUUAGCUCCAAUCAGUCCGUAAAUAACUAUUGCCAGUUACGAAUAAUGGGCCAAAAAAAUGAUCCAAUUCUUAUCAUAUUUUGAGCACGAAAAUUCUAGUUGGAAAGAGCCAUCAAAUUCUAAAAAGCUCAAAAUAAAUAAGUAAAUAAAUAAAUAAAUAAAAUCAAAGGCCAUUUUAGUCGAUUGUAAAUUCAAGUUUGGAAAGCUUUUAACCUGCACAUAUAAAAAAAAUACUGACCAGAUAUUGGCAUCACCACCACGGGCACCGCCACCACCAAGGACGCGGUCGCUAUCACCAUAGUCAUUGUCGGCAGUAGCACCGCCCUCAGCCUCGAUGCCGCCCAGCCCCCCUCGGCCCGCAUCUCCCAUCGCCCUCCGGUCCUCUAAUAUAAAAUUAACUCUUUAAAAAUAUUUUAUUAGAAAAUUGCUAACUUUGGUUGUGGUGAUAUGUUCUUACUUGAUAAAGUAAUAAGUUUGUGAAAUUAAUAGAUUUGGUGCAAAAAGAAGAUGAAGGGGUGGAAGUUUAUGCUUAAGAGAGGGAGAAGGUAAGGUACACGUUGUAAGGAGAAGAUGGAGGGGUGAGAGUUAAGCCGAGGGGAAGAAAUUAUAUAUGUUAAUUAAUUAAUAGAAGUUUGUGAAAUUAAUAGAUUUAUUGAAAGAAGAAGAUGGAGGGGUGAAAGUUUAUGUUUAAGAGAUGAGGAAGGUAAGGUAUAUGUUGCAAGGAGAAGAUGGAGGGGUAGGAAUUAAGGCAAGGAAACAUGGGCUGAGUUUAAAAAAAAAAACUUCUAAAAUAAUGUGAUUGUGCCACAUCAGUAAGAUUAUUGAGAAAUCAUAUAUGUUAAUAGAUAACCAUAAUUUUAUAUUACUUUAAUUACUUUAAUAAGCCAAGAAUAGCAUAAAAUAGCUCUAUUCCACUAAAAGUAUGGAAUAACUAUUUUCGAAUCAUUUUAGAAUUAUCUAGAACAAUCCGAUUUGAUCGAAAUAAUUUUUUUUACUUUUUUUUUUUUUACACUAUUCGGCAGAUUAGUGGAGAUAAUUUUUGUUAUGUAACCACCAAUAGAAUUUUUAUGGCUUAUAUUUUUUUUAUUCGCCUUGUCAAAUUUUUUAUUUAACAUUUUAAAAUAGAAACACAAAAAAAAUUUAUAAAUUCUUGGAUUGUCAAUAUUCUUUUAAAUUUUUUUAUUACUAAAAUUAAAAAAAAAAAAAAAAAAAAAAAACUAAAAUUAAAAAAAUAAAAUUUUCAAUUUUUUAGAGUACAUGUUACACCUGUAUCAUUUGCGCAUUAAAAUUUACAGAGAAAAAUUGAGGGCGAUUGUCGACCGACCCAUCGCACCGAUUUGACUAUUUUACCCACCUCUCUCUCUCUCUCUCUCUCUCUCUCUCUCUUUCUCUCUCUCUCACUCCGAUUCCUUUCCCUCCUCUUCUUCGUACGCUCGCUCUCGCCGCGAUCGAUCUCUCCUCGCUCGAUCUCGGAAUCGCGAGGGCGAGGAUCCAUGGAGGCGUCCUCAUGGGACGCCCUUCGCAAGCAGGUGAUCGAUCGAUCUCGCGCUUUCCCUUUCCUCGUUCAUUGAUUUUGGCAUUCGAUCUGUUUCCGUGGAUUUGAUGUUGUUGUUGGACGAUUUGGUCCAUGUACUCGUUGGUUCUUGGAUUUUGUAUCGAAUACGCCCCGGAUCUGGCCCUUUGAACCGAAUUUGGGAGCGGAUUCGAUUGGAAUCUAGGUCAAAUUGUUGAGUAUUGGGAUUUGUUGUGAAUUGAGAUCUUUAUAUGGAAACGUUGCGUAUGUAUGAGAAAUGAGUCUAAUUGGAUUAAUUAGGUGAGAUAUGGAAGUUAACAUGUAUCUUGUUAGGUAUGCAGAUCCAUUUAUUUGUCAUCAUGUUUCAAUGCCAUCACCGUAUUUCAUCUAUGUGUUUGCCAUUUUAAAGAAUGAAAGAGAGAAUAUUGGCGUCUACUUUUGGUAUGUGGAAUAACACCCUAUGGAUGCGUUUUGGGGUUCUAAUGGACAAUUUGUUCUUGAUAUGUCUUAUGAAGAGGACAAUGUAUGCUUCUUGUGAAUAUUUGAGCUAAACAACUCAUAAUAAUCAUGUCUCUGAUUAUUUGAAUGCAAAGAAGAGCUUGUUUAGGGUGUGUUUGGAUUAAUUAGGUGAGAUCUUUAUAUGCAAACGUUGCAUAUGUAUGAGAAAUGAGUCUAAUUGGAUUAAUUAGGUGAGAUAUGGAAGUUAACAUGUAUCUUGUUAGGUAUGCAGAUCCAUUUAUUUGUCAUCAUGUUUCAAUGCCAUCACCGUAUUUCAUCUAUGUGUUUGUCAUUUUAAAGAGUGAAAGAGAAAAUAUUGGCGUCUACUUUUGGUAUGUGGAAUAACACCCUAUGGAUGCAUUUUAGGGUUCUAAUGGACAAUUUGUCCUUGAUAUGUCCUAUGAAGAGGACAAUGUACGCUUCUUGUGAAUAUUUGAGCUAAACAACUCAUAAGAAUCAUGUCUCUGAUUAUUUGAAUGAAAAAAAACAGUUUGUUUAGGGUGUGUUUGGUUCACUGUAAACGUAGGCCGAAAAUAGUUUGGGUCUCUAAAUAAGGAUUUAAGUGCCGUGGCACAAGGUCAUGCCGGAAACUUACCGGCAUGGUACUGAACCAUGCCGAUGCGUGCCGAUCACAAAAAAUUUAUGUGUGCUUACACAUAAUAGCGUGAAAUUUUUAUUUUCUUUAGCAACAAAAUAUUCUAACUGUUUAUUAUAUAUUUUUGUCAAAUAUUUUAAACUUUAUUGAGAAAAUUACUUACUAAUUUAAAGAAUAGAGAGUUUUGAGUUGUUCUAUCGGCAUAAGGCUGUAUCGUGUCGAUAUCUUGUUGACACAAUACGGUACGGUAGAUACGGCUAAUGCCGAUAGGCAUUUAAAUCCUUGUCUCUGCAAGUAGUUUUUUCGCUGUUCAUUUCAACAUAAAACUGUUUUCCACAUAAAACAGUUAUACAAAUUUUGAAGUGAAAUUGGUUUUUUGUUUUUGGCUUCUUAAAAGCAAAGAAUAAAAAAUUCUCAUCCGUGGCUUUGGACGGGGUUAUUUAAGGAUUCACCAAUGCCUCAAUCUUUUAUGUAAUAUAUUAUUAAUUAAUUUAAUUACUAUCUUAGUGUUUUAAGAAUCAUAAGAUUACCAUUGAGUAAAAUGUAAGGUGAAAUGGUUACUUACGAUACUGUUACUUAUUAAAUCUAGUUAUGAUAAAUUAUUAACACACAUCUACUGAUAUUUACUUAUAGAAUUAAGUAUUAUAUUAAAUUUACAACAACAAUAAAAUAUAAUUAUCAUCAGAUCAACUUUACAUGUAAUCAGGUUAACAUUACAAGAAUAUUUUUAUUGAUAAGUUGAUUAGUAUCUAAUUACUAUAUGAAGAUUACAAUAACAUGAACACUUACGUCUGAUAAGAUUAUUCACAAAAAAUCUAAUCGCAAAAUUUACUCAUGAUUAAAAUCUAAUUAUCAUUUAGAUAUAAUAAUUUUGUGGUAAAGUUAUUACAUUUAUUUUCUAAUUAAUUUAUACUCACAACAUUAUGAGGUUAAACUUAAUUUAUUUAUCAUUAUUAUAUUAUAAUAAUGUAAUAAUAUGAAACUUUUAGUCAUUAAUCAUUGAGCCUAUUCUAAUCAAAUUAUGAUAAACCUUUUUUCAUUGUUUUUCCUACAAACCAAACAUGCAUAUCCAAAGAACUUUUUUUUCAUUUUCAUUGAAGCAAACACUAGCAGUUGUGAAAUUUCUUGUCCAUGGAAAAUCUUUUCUGCUGGAAACUAUUUUCAGAAGUUUUAUAACGAACCAAAUAGUCCCUUAGGUCUGAUUCGGUAUUGUUGUCAUUUUCUUUUUUUCUUUCAAACACUGAUUUUAUAUAAUUUGAUAUACUAGCGGAAGGACUUUCCUCUUGUUGUUGUUGUUGGUUAACUUGCAAUGCGCAAUAGCCAAGUGGUGGGUGACAACCUUUUUUAAAAAAAAUAUUGAAAGCAAGAAAAAAGAAGAAAAGUUGCUUCGAAAAUUUUAUUUUGCAUGAUUGCAUCGCCAAACGGACAUCUUGGUCGCAAGGAUUGCAAGCUGUCCACUAUCCCCUCCUACACUUUCAUACAAAAAUUCUAUUUAAAAAAAAUAAAUCAAAAUACAGCAAUGAUGCCAAACGAGGCCUUACUUUUCCAUUGUCAUAUGACAUUUGUUGUCGUGUUAGAAUCCUGCAGACAACUUGUUUAGCCUUCUAUAUUUUGAAAUGCUGAAUAUGUAAAUGCAUUGCUAUAUGAAAUAUUGAAAUGUAAUGGAAAGAUUCUCUAGUGAUGCUAAUGCUAUAGACUCUCUGCAUGUAUCUCUGUAACCUUGUGGGAAUGAUCAACGAACAUCUGACAGCAAGAUUGCUUACUAAUCUUGUAGUAAUAUUGUUAUUCAGCAACGAUUGAGUAGCUUCAUUUGUUUCUGGGUCAUUGUUAAAACUUCAAAAGCUAGAGCAUAAGGUGUUGUUGCUAUAUGAUCUGGUUGCGUUGUUUGUUGUUUUGCUAAAAUAGAAUCUAUAUUCGUUUUCUUUGUAGGCAAGGAAACUUGAAGCUCAGAUAGAUGACCAGAUGAAUUCAUAUCGUAGGUUGGUUGCCACCAAACCUGAUGGAUCAGAGAAUGACCUUGAAUCUGGUAUAGAGAGACUACUGAAGCAACUUCAGCAAGUGAAUACACAGAUGCAAACAUGGGUAUCCUCAGGAGGGUCGGAAGUUCUUUCUCAUACCUUGACUCGUCAUAAAGAGAUUCUGCAGGACCUUACACAGGUAUAGUUGCUUCUUACCCAAUAAAUCAAAAAAGUGAAAUAGGAUGUGAGUCUUACUUUCAUAAGGAAGGCUAAUAAAAGUGGAACGUACACUUCUGUCAUGGAUUGCCCACUUUUCUGUCAGGUCCUCAAUUUAAACAUCUUAAUUAUUGGAGCCCUGGCAGGAGUGCAAAUCUUUGUGAAUUAGUGUAGAAUAAGCAAGCUAAGGUUAAACAGUUGCUUUUGGCAUGAAACUAUAUGCAGGAAUUUUAUCGUCUUCGAGGAAGCCUUAGAGCUAAGCAAGAACAUGCAUCCCUCCUCCUCGACUUCAGGGAUUUUGACCGGGCGAAAUUGGAUGUUGAAGAGGGUGCUGGUUCGGAUGGGCAAGCUCUUCUCAGAGAACAAGCAGUAAUUAGCAGAAGUUCAGGACAGGUGUCAUUAUUCUCUUAUCUAUCAACACUUAAAUUUAUUUCUUUUUAUUUUUCUCUCUGCCUUGGAUAUGAUGCAUGAAUAUAAGUUGGUGCACACACAUAUGGAAAAAGCUAUAGCUAAGUACCAUUCUGUUAUGUUAAUGUUAUGUUUUAUCUAUAUGGGCUGUUUCAUUUAUCGUUAUUUGAAUAUUAUUAAAUACACAGUGUAAGAUCCACAUUUUAUUUAGUUAAUUUUUAUAUUGAUGGAGGGUUCCAACUUUGUGAAUCAACUUGUCACCUCAGUAUUGCUGACCGUUCCUAGCGUAAGUGGCAAAUGACUUGAUAACUGGUACUUGAGGUUCCAAGUUCAAAGUCUAGUUGCUUUACAUUUUCAGUUAAGUUCAUUUCUAAAAAAAAAAAAUGAAUGAAGUGGGUAGCAAGAGAUAAUAUAGAUUUUGCUGAAUAAAGAUUAAAGAAAAGCAUUAGAUACUGCUAAUCUAGCUUUAAGCUCCUAGCCUUAAAACCUUCUAUAACAUAGAGGCAAACGCACUUUCCUUUUCCAUAAACCUUCUUACGCUUGGAAUGUUAUAAUUUAAACUGCGUUAGUUUUUUUUUUUUUUUUUUUUUUUUUUACCGAUAUCACUGAACCGAACCAUCUACUCAACCCUACCUCUUUUCUUGAUAUUAACUCUGCCCCAUGUUGAUCAAACUCGCCCAAUUUUCCCUAUAGACUGAUGUAUUGUGUGUAAACUGUAUCACAGAUGGAUUCUUUGAUUUCGCAUGCCCAAUCAACUCUCGGAACACUUGUUCUUCAGCGCUCCACAUUUGGCGGCAUCAGCACAAAGAUAACCAAUGUUAGCAGCCGUCUUCCGGGGGUAUGCACACCGUGCCUUCUUGACCCUCAAAAGAAGAAGUGCUCACUUGAUAGUGUUUAUUUCCACUCCCUUGGACAUUGAUCUUUAAUUGGUAUAAUUGUACAGGUGAAUCAGAUCCUCUCAUCAAUUAGGAGGAAGAAAUCGAUGGACACCAUCAUUCUCUCUCUUGUUGCCUCCGUCUGUACAUUUCUCAUUUUCAUUUACUGGUUGUCAAAGUAAGGCAUAAAAUUGACAUCGCCUUGGAUUCAAUCUGUAAGUGCGUAUUAUUCUAGUUUUUGUUUGUAUUGCAACUAGAGUUGUCACACUGUUAUAUGAUAUAAUGAUCGGCUUCUGAAGUGCCCUUAUAGGACCAUGUAUUCUACCUUUCUUUUUGUCUUUCUCUGGGACAACUCCGUAUAGUUUCUUUCUUUCCAAUAAAUGUGUACAGUAGCUGUUUUGCUCAGCUUUUGACGUAAAAUUUACGUUCGAGAAUCAUGACUUGAUGUGGUUUUUUGUCAAUUAAGUUCUAAUAAUCUGUUGUCUCCAUUAGAAAUCAGAAAAGUAAGCUCAUUUUGGAAGGUGUGAUCAUCAGAAUAAACAACUUGGAUAAUCAGGUAGUAUUUAUUGCUGUUUAUGUGAUAAGCAAGUUUGUUUGUUUUUGUUAGCAUUAGUUCGUCAGUUUAAAUGUAAUUUUUGCAGUUCUGUUGGAAACUCUGAAGAAGUAUAAUUCUAUACAUUUUUGCGCGCCUUGCUGCAUUGUCUAUAUGCAAAGUAAGUUGCAUUUUCUUUUUCUUUUUAUCCUUUUUUUUUUUUUUUGGAGAGAUUGAAAGGUAGCAAGCUAUCUUCAUUGUUCUUUUUUUUUUAGCAAAUUAAUUCAACUAGAAAUGUGAAGUAACUGGGCUUUGAAAUUGAGAUUUCGGACACCAACCGUCAAGCUCUUAGCCAGUAACUUAUAUAUAGAUAGAUUGGGCUACUAUACUAUUAAUAGUACCAAAUUGUUUGUGUUAUUAAAUUUUCAGCCCUUGGAUGAAGGGAUAUGCGGUUAGGAUGAUAGUGAUUUUCUAGGGUUGAGUGUGUGGUUGGUUGAAUAGUAUGAUCUAACGGGUAGAAAUGAUCAAAGGAGUAGAUCUAACGUCCGAAAAUUUAUGAGUAUAAAGGAGACUAUAUUUAUAAGAGUAUAAUCGCCAGACUCAUAUAUGCUAGGACUGCUAUAUAUACUCUUAUGAGUAUGAUCCUUUUGUACUUAUAAAUUUUCGAUCGUUCGAUGGAGAGACGUGCAUUUAGAAUGAUAGUGGUCUCCGAUUAGGAUAAUAGUGGUUCUCUAAGAUUGAGUGGUUGGUUAAAUAGUAUAAUCUAAUGGAUGAAAAUGAUCAUAAGAGUAAAUUUAAGGGGGAAAACUUAAUUUUAGCCUACGCGCUUGUGCUAUUAGAAACACUCUAGCCGAACUCUCUCUCUCUCUCUCUCUCUCUCUCUCUCUCUCUAUAUAUAUAUAUAUAUAAUUGAGCUAGAAUACUUUUACAAGUAUCACUCCCAUGGUGCUAUUAGAUUUUUAGCCAUUGGAUCUACUUGUUGAUUAUUAAUAGCCCUUAGAUCAAACACUAUUCCAUCUACCACCACCUACCACCAUCAUCUCAACCUCACAUCUCUUCAUCCAAUGGCUAAAAACUCAAAAGUACCACCUUCAUGGUGCUUUUGAGAGUAUUCUAGCCCAACUCUAUAUAUAUAUAUAUUCUGUGUUGUUAUUGUAUAAUAAGGCUUCAAUAUGUCAACUAGUUUUGCCGCCAAAUGCUCAAUCUGAUGUUAGAGGUGCUGAUCGAUAUUUGUAAGAAGGAAAUGUUAAAGGAGCAGAAAUUAUUUCCUUGACAAAAAUGGCUGCUUCUCACCAAGUUUGAAGUGCUGAGUAACUCAGUUGGCUUGUAAUGCUCCAGACCAUUAUUAUUCUGAUUGUCGCUUCCUAGGCUGANGGCUCAUCGGUUCACUAGUCGAACAGUCGAUUCCAAUAGUUCAGAGCAGGUUUUUGUCUUAUUCGGCGAUUCGAAUGGUUCAGAGCAGGUUUUUAUCUUAUUCGGUGUAAACGACUGAUUUGAGUUAUGGUCGAAUUGGCCGAACCAGCCGGUUUUGACCUGAUUUUUAAAAUCUUGGUUGCUACUAGAUUAUGCUCCCAGUAAGGGAGGAGUAAAAAUUGAAAAAUGCUACUUGCACACCUCCAAUCAGGUUGUAUAUGUUACACUCUAUCUAUUCAAUAAAUGGGGUUGAACUACUAGUUACAUCAAGUGUCUAGUAAAAACAUCUCAUCUAUUGGAUAAAUAAAAUGUAAAAUAUACAUUCCAAUUGGAAUGUACCCUUGCACUUUAUUACAGACGAUGCAAACUUUCAAUUCAAUCCUCUGCAGUUAAAUUGUGCCUAAAAUGAAGGAAGGAAGACUGAAUAAGAGAAAUAAGUUGAAAAUUAUAGGGUGCAUUCACUUUAUAGGAUGCUUUAUGAUAAGCACAUAAAUAGGCCAAAGCAAUGCUAUCUUUGUUUUAUAGGUGUAAAUCUUACACUCUUAACUUUUUAAAAGUUCAAAAUUUACUCAUUUCUCUUAUCAACCUUUUUUUUUAAUACUAAAAAUUCAAGAGAGUUUUUAAACUCUUAAUAGAUAACAGAGUAUUAUAAAAUGUACAACUUAUUAGUGUAACAGUAACACCCUACAUUCAAAAGAUAAAGACUUAAAUACUAAUAGAAGUAAACUAAGUUGUCUCCAUGUUGUUUUCAGCCGUGGGGUAUUAAAUAGACAAUUAAUUCCGUUAAAUAUAAUUUAGCUACUUGAAUAUUUUAAAAUUUAAUUUUUUAAAUUUUUUGUUAUUAUUUAUUGAGUAAUUAAAUGAUCUCAAGUUCACUUUGUACUAGUUGCAAACCCACAAUUUGCAGUCAUUCCGCUAAGAAGUUAUAAAUAAUUAUAUUAUUUUACACUUCAAUAAUAUAUAAUUGAUAACAAAUUUUGUAUAGUUGUAUAAAUAAAAUAUAUUUUUAUAUGAAGUCCGAGUAUGUUACUUCCAAGAAAUAAAGAAGGUGGUGCUUCCAAAUUUUUAACCCUUGAAUCAACCUUUUUGAUUAUUUUUAAUUCUUGAUAUUAUUUUACUACGGAAACUACUCAACUUUAAGAUAGACCACUAUUAUUCUAAUCAUACAGUUCUUGAUCGAAGAGCCAAAAAGUCGAAUGCGCCAACUCCUUUAUACUUCCAAAAGCAUAGUAGCCUUACACUUUUAUUUGUAUAUAUUUAGAUAAAUAUCUAACCUGUGCGGGUAAAAGUUGGCGCCCGUAAUAGACGCGACGAUAGCGCUGGCGAUCACCGUCAUAAAAUUUUCGUUUCAAACUUGACAUUUAAAAUUUUAAACAUAUAUUUUAAAUUUGACUGUAAAUUUUAAAUUCAAGUUUAUUUUUAAAAAUUUAAAUUUAAUUUAACUUCAGAUAUCAUAUUUAUUUUUACUUUAGAUUUAAAUUUUAAAUUCUAAUUCUCAUUUUAAUUUUGAAUUCAAAUGUAUUAUACAACCGGUGGAGGCAAUAGUUUUUCCAUACUUUGGACCUUUAUACUUCCAACCAAUGGGCAAGUUCGGAGCCUGUUUGUCUUUUUUUUUUUUUUUUUCUUUUUCUUCUUUUUUUUCCCAGUUGAAAACUUUUGCAUUUCCCUUCUAAGAAACAUGUUUGAUAGAAAAUCUAUCAUAUUUGUAUUUGGAUUCGAAUAGAUCUGAUUUAUCGAAGAUCUUAAAUAACAACAAGAGACUAGCUUAUAACUUUUAUAGUUUCCGUGGAAAAGGAGACUUACUCUAUAGCCAUCAACAAAAAAUAUCUUAUAAAAAUAGGAAUAAUGCUAUGGGUAUCUCAAAAGAUAUCUAUAUGUAUUGUCGAUGAGUCAAAUUUUAACAUGACAGCUAAUUUGGAUACCGGUGUGCCAAAUUUGUGAAAUCACAUCACGAAUCUUUCCGCCUAAACGUCCAUCGCUAACAUUUGAUCCCUCACUCUCUCUUGUUAAAUAUAAAAAUAUUUAAAUACCGUUCUCUAAUAGCUUAAGAUUUUAUAAUACAACGAUUGUUUUAUAUAGUAUCAGAGCAGAAGGUUCUGAGUUCGAGUCAUACAAGGCUAAAUAUAAAAAUAUUUUCUCUACAUUUUCUCUACAUUAGACCACUAUGUUGAGGACGUGUUAUAGCUUCUUCGGAUCUUCGACGUGGAGUUUAUUCGCCUCGACGACUAGAGAAGGCAAUAUUUUUCCUCUGUUUUUCUUUUGGCCUUUUUAACUAUAGAUUAUUUUGAAGUAGGUCCCUCACAAUUCUAUUUUUUGAACCUUUUUUUUUUCCUAUUUAGGAAGCUUAAUAGAGUUCUUCAAAUUUGCUACAAGGGUUUUAGAAGUCCCCUUUCCAUUAACUAUUCUAAAAGCCUUGCAGCAAUAUUUGAAAAACACCAAGCUUUCUAAUUAGGGAAAAGAAUAUAUAAAUAAACAGAAAUCGAGGGACCUACUUCAAAAACAACCUGUAGUUAAUGAGCUCCUUAUGUAUAUAGUUCUUAAUUCAGCAGAAAAGUGAUAAAAAUAAGCCAAAAGAAAAUUAGAGAGAAAAAAGGGGAAAAAAAAAAAAAAAAAAAUUAGAGGAAGGUGGUGGCAGAGGAGAAAACCUUUCUCACCAACGUUCCAGCUGGUUGCCUUCAACCAUCCAUCUUCAUAGCCUUCGACAAGACGAGUAAGCUCUGCACUGAAGAUAUGAAGAAGCCAGUAAAGCUCUGCUCUAUAAAGGUCUGCAGAAGGUAGCACGCCCUCAACUUUUGAGUUUUGGGAUACAUGGUCUGACGUCGAGAAUAUAUGUGACUAGCCACAUAAAACCCCUGGGAGGAAGCAGAGAGAGGUGUCACACACCCUAAUAACUUCACCUUAAUAAUAAUAACUGGACUUAAUCAUUUUGGACCAGUAAUUUCAGCCCAACGAAUUAUUGUUGCUAGUGGACUGGAUCGUUACAUUUGGUAUCAGAGCCGGUUCACCAGCCGGAAGUGUGAGAUGAGUCUUGACUGAGCCAGGGUCGGUGAAUGACAGGGUAAGCCAGAGUCGGUGAAUGACAGGCUAAAUCAGUGUCGAAAUGAUAAGACUAGCGAGACAAGUCUCACAUCCCCUGAUAAUCUUGGACUAUGUCUGUUUACCCCUAAAUGGGAGAAGUAUAAAAGAACUCCACCCUAAUAAUAACAACCGAGCUUAAAUAUUUUGAACUGGUGAUUUAUGAAUACAUAAGAGAACUCCACCCAAUGAGUUAUUAUUACUAGUGGUCCGAUAGUUACAAGGUGGUGAAGAUGAGUAAAGGACGUUUGAGCAGGAAAAAAUGUGGGAGAUUACGAUUGGCAUCCGACCCGAAAGAUUUGUAACACCACUGUUUAAAGCAACUGGAAUUUAAAAUUGAGCACUCCAAAUCAGCUCCCAUAUCAAAAUCUGAGUCGUCGACAAUAUACAUAAGUACCCUUUCAGUGACCCAUAGUAUUACUCAAAACAAUAAACAUGAGAGAGAGAGAGAGGGGGGGAGAGACUAAACCGAAAUACUUCCUUUUUUUUUUCACGCAGACAAGUGCUACAAAAUUUCAUAUUUCUCGAAACAGCCUGUAGCCUAACUACGUUACCGACUAAAAUAACUUACGGUAAACAUAAACCCAGCUACCAGAGGUCUUGCAUAACAACACAUGCCAAAGGCCAAAGGAAACAGGUAAUGCUAAACAUUACAACCCCUACCCCCCUACCCAAAGCAUCUACAGUGUCAGUUAAAUCGUCAACAUGACUAGCAGCACCUGGGCGACCAGAUAGGCGAUUUCGGGCGAGAAGCAAAGCAAAACACUGAAGAAUUGCCUAUCCACAAUACCCCAAGAAACUGUAAACAGCAUGUAUUUACCUGAGAGGAAAAAAGGAAAAAAGAAAAAAGAGAAAAAAAAAAAGGGGAUGGGCAAAGCAUGCGUCGAAGUGCCCAAUCAGCUUUGGCUCUUCCUCCGCCUCUUCUUUCCUGUCGAAGCCCCAAUUACCUGUGACUCUACUUUUCCAGUACUCGCUCUCUUUUGGGCCCGGAGCUUGCCUUUCCCGGAGGAGCCAUUCGGAACACCCUUUGAUUUCUGUCGAAGGGUUGGAGUUUCGGCGCUGGAUUUACCUUUAGCUGCAUCUUUGCUGGAACUGGCUACAUCAUCCUUUGAUUUGUUCGUCUUCUUUUGGGUUUCAUCCUGCGACCUUCCGCCGGAUUGAAGGGCAAUGCCCUUUGCACGGCUGCGAGUUCUUGAGACAUCAUCAUUCGACUUGGCGGAGUGAUUGGAGCUAUCAUCCUUAGACUUGCGCGUGCGUCGCGGUGUCUCAUCCUUAGACCUCUCGUCACCUUUAGGAGUCUCUUCUUUAUCCUCACUGACAGCCUUCGACCUGCUUUUACGUUUCGGAAUAACUCCUGUACGCAUGCUGCUGAACUCAUUGCUACAGAACAAACACCCGAUGGAAACAAUUGAGAUAAAGCACUUCAAUAGGUCGAUCUAUUAGACAUUGUUUACCACAUCAAAUGCCAAUUACCUGCUCGGUGUCUGCGUCUUUGCUUUUUUUGGUGCACGACUGGAACUUGUUUUAGCUUUUUUACUUGGCGGCCUGAUUGAGGGGUGAUGGGUGAACAAAUGAGGGGAAAAAACAGUUUCUUCAGUUAGGAAAGAACAGCAAACUAUUAGGUAAAAUCCUUUAAACACAGAUUGCAAGAGAAAACACUCACAUUUCCGAUGAAGCAUCAGGUCUUGGAAGAUCCUCCGAUCCUCCCUGCUAGGAGAAGAAAAUAAUGGAACUUAAAAUGCAGAGAUCAAUUAUAGAAAUACUUGAUCAUGGUGCAUCGAACUAGUACCUACCUCAUCUGCUUCUGUGUUGCCUUCAAUAAGUUCCCAUCUUUCUUCCUUAAGCCGUAAUAUCUCUACAUCACCAUCAUUAUAGACAAUCUGGACGCAUCAAAAAUCAUUUCAGAACAGAAAAAAUACUGUAGAAGUUAAAAAGGUAGUCAAGAACAGCAAAUUAAAAUCAGCAGACCGAUAAAUUUACGCACCGUAUGCUUCUUAGAAGAGGGAUUAUAUGAAUGAACCACACCAUCAUAGAACCUGCAGAAGCAGGAUAAAAUUUAGCAUAUGAGUACACGUAACAGUAGAUCACAGACUCAAAGUAAGUUCUAAAGAACAUGAUUAUAAGAGAUCAGCAGGGAAGUCUGGCAUACGCUUUAUCAGCCGGCCACCAUACUUUAAUCAUGGAGUUAACAAGACUCUCAUCAAGAUCUUUUCUUUGUUUCGAUGUAGAGAUCUGUCACAUUUGAAUAAUUAUAAUUAGAACCCAGAAUCAUGUACGAUGAAAUCUUAGUGAAGCACAUAAAAUAGAAUACCUUUUCUGUCCCUCGACCAUGGUUCCUCUUUGAUCCACUUCGAUUUCUCAGACUGCCAGAACCAGCUUUCUGCACAGAGCCCGCAAAAAACAAAAAGAACACCAAUCAUCUAGAGUAGUUAAAAAAUUGACUAGCUGCAAAAAAUUAAGAAGGAUGCAACGAAGACCCCGAGAUCACAAAUCAACUCAUGAAUCAGAUAAUACUUUCUAUAUGUCAUUUUAAUGAACUAAAUCCUCCUCUGCAGCGUGCAUUUGAGUAAUGUCCAUGAUGAGAUGCGGCACUUCUAGUUCACAGCUACAAGUUUCAAAGGAUCUCCGAGGAAACAACAUGGCCUCAAAAAAUACGUAAGAGAGUUAAAAUGCAGAAAACCCCCUAUCACAAGUUGCCCUACACUCAUGAUAAUCAAAAUCUGCAAAAAAGAAACACCCCCUCAGCUGCACAAUUAUCACAUAAACCCCUUCUGUUAGUCUUCUGGUAGGGUUCUUCUAGAAAAAAUAAUAUAAUAUUUUUAAAAAUUAGUAAAUGCCUAAAGUUCAUUUUCUCUUCCCGAAACAUCAGAGGAGACGGUGAGGAUGAGGUAAUAGAAGAAAAGAAGGACUAGAAGGACGUGUGGUGGAGGGGGCGGCAGUGAAAAGAGGAUGUGGAGGAUGGACACAGAUGGUGAUGAAAAACAGCUGGAGGACAGGGAGGACGAAAUCACAGAGGCGGAGAAUGGAAUGGAGGGAAAGGAUGCGAUGGUGAGGAGGACGAGUGCUAAUCAAAAAAGUAGACAAUUUUCUCAUUAAAUUGAGGGGAUUUUCAAUAGGUUUUCUUAUGGAGAAAGCUAUUUUAACUCGCAACAUUUCGAGACGGUUUCUGCAUCUACAGCCAUGAAUUAACCAUAGAAAGGCUUGGAAAUAAGGGUGUGCAAGCAUAAACUGAGGAGCAAAGAUAGAAGAAGAGAACAAGAAAAAGAUGAAGAGGAGAGAUGCAAUAAGAGCAACAAUCCUCAUGUUUUGUUAAACAAGUGUGAUUUAAACCAAAAUGACCGAAGGAAAUAUAAAAACAUGAACCAUGAUAGGUGACACUCCCUAUCAUGCAACAUACUUUACGAAUGUUUGGAUGUAAAUGAAGCUAAAAGAAAUAUAUAUAUAUAUAUAUAUAGAGUCCGGCUACUAUGCUAUCGGUAGCACGGAGCGCUCCGUGCUACCAAGUUGUUUUCGAUGAUGCGGCUUCCAAAUCGACGAUCGGCUCCGUUAGACUUGAUCUAUACUAUUGAAAGUAUUUGGAAACUAAAAUUUCAAAUUUUUUCGACAUCAUUUGACUACUGAUCAAAAGAUCUCAAAAUUGACAAUUUUAAUGGCCGAUGUGGUGUGUUUGUGAGUUUAACGGUGUAAAACAAUUCAAAUGCGAUGCAAGUUUUAUAGAAAAUUCUUCUCACUAUUUCGAGUAAGAUCAGUAUAUCUGAUCUUGAAUUUAAAUCUUUUAUCAUCAUUUUUUAUGAGAUUUUUAUUUUCAGCCGUUCAAUUUUAGACUACUUGUUUGAUAGGUAAAUGAUAUCGAAAAAUUAUGAAAUUUAGUUUCUAAAUACUUUCAAUAGUAGAAUCAACUUCUAACGGAGCCGCAUCGUACGAUUUGAAAGCCGCUAUCAAUCGAAAAACUUUGGUAGCACGCGCGCUCCGUGUGCUACAUAGUGAUAUAGGUAGACCUACUACUAUAUAUAGUAUAUUAUAUAUAUAUAUAUAUAUAUAUAUAAUAUAUAUGAAAUAGGCUACUAUCUAUAACUAUCUAAGUACCGGAGCUCCGUACUAUAGUCUUGUUUUCGAUCUUAGGGUGUUCAAAAUUAACGAUCCACACCGUUAAAUAUGAUCUAGGUAUAUGAAGUUCUUAGGAAAAAAAUUUUAGCUUUUUUCGACAUCGUUUACUUAAAAAAUAAUUAUGUCAAAAUGGACGGUGGAAAUUGAAUAAUCUUUAAAAUUUGAGCAUAGGACUUUAAUCAAGAUCAAGAAUGCUAACUUAAUCUAGAUAGUUUAAAGUAUUUCUCUAUCAAAAUUGAAAAAAUUUAGAUUCUUCUACACCGUUAAACUCCAAACUCGCCAUAGUAGCCAUUGAAAAUUGAAAAUUUGAAAUAGUUUGAUCAUAAAAUAAACUAUGUCGAAAAAAUAUAAAAUUUUAUUUCUAAAAACUUUAAAUACCCGUAGAUCAUUUUAACGGUAUGGAUCGUUGAUUGAACACUCUAAGAUCGAAAACGAGACUAUAGUACCGGAGCCCCGGUACUAUAAUAUAUAUAUAUAUAUAUAUAUAUAUAUAUAUAUAUAUAUAUAUAUAUAUAUAUAUAUAUAUAUAUAUAUAUAUAUAUAUAUGUCAAUCGCAAUAAACAAUGAUUUCGCUCUUAAGAAAAACCAUUCAGAGUUGGUAACGAGAAAGUAAAACAUGCAGGUAAAUGAAAGGUUCCAACAAAUAACAAGGCUAUUAAGCAAUCAAGAGUGGGGCAGAAGGAGAAUUACUUCGAGAAAAUGGGAAGUGGAAAGGCUAAAUAUAAAUACAAAGGAUUAAUUAGGAAGGCAAUUCCGACCUACCUCAAUACAAUUACUAGAUUUCAUUCAAGCCAGCAGCAGGCAUAUCCUUCUUAAGAACUAGAUUCUUUGUCCACAAAAUAUUUAUAAUAUAAGCAAAACAGAGGACUUCCUGAAUGAUGAGACAGUUUUACAUAAGGAUUAGCAAUAAUCUUAUAAUUACCUUCAAACUGAGCUCUCCAGCUGCAUCUUCAGAUUCACUUGUUUCCUUCGGCUGCUUAUUAUUAGACUUUGGUUGUCUACGUGAUGAUUCUGUGACACCAUCCUUGACCGUGGAACCGACUUUAUCUCUACGAGUCCGAGUUUUUGGCUCUGAAUAGACUGCACUACCAGCCAAUAUUUCACCAACCUUUUUGCUUCCCUUCUUACCCGAGUGUCUCAAGGGCUUCUCUUCUGAGUCGCUCAAAUCUUCUGAAGCCUUCUUAGAAUCUGGACCUUCAGAAGAAGACGUAAGCUGGUCAGACGACAAGUCACCUCCACCUUUCUUGUCAGAUAUGUCUGACCCAGAAGAUCCGUCUCUUUUUGGUGGAUCUGAAUAAACAGUUCCAUCAUUAGCACUUGAAGGAAGUUGAAGAUGAUCUUUAUUGUCAGUAUCCAAUGGCAUGGGUGACUCUGCUUCUUUAUCGGAUGGACCAUCAACUUGUGCACUAUCAGCUUCUCUUCCAUGGUCUUCUCUACUGCCGGGUACUAGUGGUGUUUCUUUCUCGUUAUCAGUCCUAGAACCAUCACUCGUCUCAGUUAAUUGAGUAGACAAAUUAGAACUGCGGCCUCCCAUUUUCUUGGCGUUCAGAUCUGAUAAACUAUCAGGCUUCGCCACAGCUGACUCGACAUUGUUGGAAUCAUCUGUAGUUUCUGGAACAGUACCUUUUGACUCAACACCACGACGAGAUUGUUCAGGCUUCUGUUGAGGUGAAGUUGGUUCCACCACAGAUUCACCAUUACCUAUUGGAACAGUACCAUUGGUCAUCUUUGAUUGCGAUGACUCGUUUGCAAGGGUAUCAGAUUCUUGAGGACAACCUACUUGAUCCAACUGUGAAGAGACCUGACAUUCAUAAUUUAUAAAUUAGAAAAAUGGAAAAAGAAAUCUAUAAGACAUUUAUGAUUCAACCAUAAAGCUGUAUUUUAGUCACAGUUACAUGCCUGAGGUAGCUCAUCAGAAACAGCCCUCUCAGAUAGCUUAUUAUCAUCUGCCUGAAACACCAUAAAAAAACUAACUUAUCAAAGUCUCAAUCAAUAAAAGCAACUAUAAUUACAAUAAGAUUUUCAAUGCAGAGUCAAAAGGAUUAUAAAUGUGUGGUAGCAAAUUACUGAUAACAGUUAGAUGGUUUAAGGUGUCAUAAUGACCCUUCUCAGUUCAAGAAACUAAGUCCGAGUCUGAAGUAGCAAGUUAGCUCAAGAGUACACGACUGAGAAAUCUCUGAUAUUAUAACUCAAACAACUACAACUACAGUUAGAAAAAGGCAUCUGCAUAGUCUUCCCCAUUCAUUCAGUUAAACAAUACCCAGAGUCGACAACUAUACAGCAUAAGCUAUUGAAGAUUUAAACUACCAUAUGGAUUUCCAUCAAUUGCCACAUACAAUGGUGUUUUCCCGUGGUGGAGAAAGACUCGCAUUCUUCCCAGAAUCAUUUACAUCGGUGCGGUCCGUAGCAUCAGAAUUCUCUUGGCGUAGAGAGCCAACAACCUUGCUAUAAUUACUUAAGGGAGUGUUUUGGACUAAUUUUAUCAAAGCCGGAUUCAGUUUUACACCACAGUUACGAACGACUUUCUCUGCAAGUCUGAAUGCUGUAGGAUUGAUUUCCUGUAAACAAGAAUAAAAAGAAUUGUGAAAAUCAUAUAGAUGGUUGCAGUUGGAGAUUAAAGCAUUAUAAGGAUGGAAACCUACUUUGCUCUCCUUUUUUAGACUCUCAAGAAGGCAAGAGACAAGUUCUGCUGAGAUAUCUUCACUCUCCUCAAUCACAAGUGUCAUUAUAGUCUCCAUUGAUGAGAAGACAUUUUCUGGAUGGUUCGACCUGAAAUAAAUUCAAUUGCCCUUUAGUAAUAAAUUAAAAAUAAUUAGAAACAAUUGAAAAGUGAAAAAAAUAUAAAAGAAAAAUGCUGACAACCAAAAAUUUAUAGUUUAUAUAAUAACCAGUAGACUGUAAAACCAAACAAAGAAAAUUUCGAUUAAAGAAAUUUAACUUUAGGAAAGCGCCAGCUAACUUGAUAAUUAAAGCUCGUACAAUGUAUCCUGGUUGCAAUAGUUUUAAGUCAUGAAAUCAAACCACACAAAAAAGCAGGUAGAUUUGUAUAUAUGCUGAUCUCCACAAACAAUGAUAUGCAUUUGACCUCCCAAACUAUUUUCGAAGAAAAAAAAAAUACUCCCAAACACAAGAAUUGAAUCCAAACAGUGGGUGGUUACUUCUCUUCCAAUUAGAAUUCAAUCCUAUAUAACUCAGAAGAAGGUACAAAGAAGGUACCAAAAUUGGCCACAUUUUAGCUUUCAUUGUGAAAGAAUUAGAAUCUAAUUGAUAUGUCACCAGAUUAAAGUAUCCAUGACUAUGACAGAAGUUUUAUUUUCAACCAAAUUAUUGCCGCACCUGCAUGUCCUAUAUGUAACGACUCAGGAGUUGCAUCAAAUUCACAGGUAGAAGAAAAGGAGGUAACGUUGGCUAGGCCUAACCACUAAGUGGUGGCAUAAGAAAGAGGCUAUUGGCUUCACAGACACUUUUGACAACGAGCAAAAAAAUUGGUUAUAAGCAAACCGAAGAUCAUUUUAUGACAACAAUAACAGGCACAGCUGAACAUUCAAUAAUAAGGAUUAGAUACAUCACCUUAACAAAUAAUAGAGGAUAUCAUGUAGAACCUAAAGUGUCUAACAUAACAGUUACCUUUUAGGCUUUUUGUUACAACAUCAUAUAUGACUAGCAUUACGUAUCUGCUUUAUCACUUGAAUUUAUCUCUUUCGAUGGCAGUUUAUAAGAAGUUUGCUACCUCUUCAGAUGUUUACCAGUUAUGCUCUAACAAAGCAGCAAGAGGCAUCAUUUCUUUUACUAUUGAUCAGCAGCAUUCAUUGUAGACUUCCUAUACCUAUUGGCGUACAGUUGCAAUGUCAUAAAAUAUUAAGAGGGACACAUACUAUGGAGAUAGAACAGCCUGUCAGAAAUUUUUCAUAGUGGCUAGUCUCAAGACUUAAGCAUGCAACAUCUACAUUAUCAAGUAACGGUCCUUGAUCUCUAAUUUGUUUUGAUUCAUAGCUAUGUAGCAGACAAUAAAUAUUGCUGUUCCGGUCUCAUUUUAAUUGAAUCCCAUGUACAAACAAGGCAACAGAUGUUGCUACUUUUAGAUUAACGCAACUGCCUCAGUAGAGGCUAGGUAUUCUGAAUUGUCUGCCCAAUGGCUGGACCACUUGAUAACUUUAGCAGGAACAAAAAUGUCAAAAUAAAACUGAAAAGGCAUUAAUAGACCUUAUUACCUUAUGGAAUUCAGGAAAUGACGAAACAUAUGUAGAAUUAGGUCAUCACAUUCUAGAUCCAACAUCACAACGCACGAUCGAACCUUUGCCACAGUUUCAAGAAUUGAAACCCUCUUCAAAUAUAAGGAACUGGACAUAUCAUCCAACUUUUCAAAUGCUUCCACUAUUCUCUGAAACACCAUCUGAAAUUUCAGAAGAAACGGUCAAACAAACUUAGCUCAAUGAGUCCAAAAUGGCACAGGAAUUCCUGGCUGCAAUUAUGACAGUGCUGACCAAGGUGCUUAAUAGUAGAUACACAAAAAUAUUAGUGGUUUUAAGAAAUAAGUAAUUGAACCUUCAUUAAAUCAUCAUCAUAAGGAGCAUCUGGUGCCGUUAUUCUCGUGAUUUCACUUGCACAUGAGGCCACAGAAACUCUUACAUCUGCAUUAGGAUGUCUCAAAAGCUCUUCGGCAACUAGGGCAUUCAUUGCAGGACGAAUUGCAUUUAUCAUCGAUUGAGACGGUGAUUGUUCCACCUUCAAUAACAAUCUUUCUGCUCGCUGUAUUUAGAAUCGAACAAGCUAAGAUGUUUUGCAACAGUAGAUGAUGUGCGAAAAAUAAACUGAUUAACUACAACGGAUGCAUAAAAUAAUAUAUCAUUAAAACCUUUAAGAAAAAAAAAACUAACUUCAGCAUGUGAAUAAUACGCAAUUUAUACAAGCGUCACUGCUACCAUCAGGCAUAAAAUGUUUAAUUCUCAGGCUUUGAGCACAAAUGUAAAAAUGCACAAAAGAACAAAACAAAUUAACAUAUAGACUAGCAUUAGCAAAAUAUUAGUAAAAGCAAUAAUAAUUUGCUACCCCAGAAUAAACAUAAUAAGUAAAAAGAAAGAAAAGUCUUGCCCAAAGGAAGAAAACAGAACUGAUUAAAACACACAAUCAUUGGCAACAAGAAUAAAAAAAGAAAAAUCAGCAUCAAAAGACAGAUUAUCCCGUCUGUUAUAUUAGUUCACUCUUAUUGUAGUUAUUUCCUACUGAGUUUAUACACUUGAAACCAUCCUCCCUCCACAAAGUUUCAAUCGAGCUGAACAAAUAACUAACAAAGAAUGAGAAAGUUUAAUUCCAUUGUCUAGCCCAACAAUUUGCUUUCGCUACGGUUUUCAAUGAGAUACUACCCAAAUAGCCCCAGCACAGCUCGUUCCAAUUAACACGCUGGCGCAUGCAGUUGUCUUACCUCAACCUCUCAUUGGAAAAGUUUCUCCUACUUAACAGUGUAUAUUGUUCAACAAAGCACAACUACUAAAACUGUUAAUAUAUAAGCACACAUAAAGUGAAUGGACAACCAAAUAAAGCAUCGCAAUCCACAGCAAUCAACUUUCAGUUUCCGUUUUCUUGGCUAAAACAGUGUAAUCCAUCAUCAAAUUUAAAAAGUACUACAAUUAUAAUACCAGGGAAAAGUUUUGCAAAGGCUAUAGGAUCUAUCCAAUGUUCUUGCUAGUAGAUUCGAGAAGUUCUACUUCCUCAGAACAAAACUGACUCCGCAUGUAUCUACUAGAAGAAAAUGUAAUACAAAUCUAUAGAACAAAACAAUAUUGCACAAUAUCAGUCUCUGUCGCUUUCAAUUCUUCCGAAAAUGAGAUCGAGCAAGCAAAAAACCACGUCCGCACAUGUAUUGCAACGCAACAUGGUGACAGCACAUACGAAACUACAAAGAAAUUGAAACCCUAAUACUCUAAACACAGAAAUAUACAAACAAUCGAUAUCAAAACAGAGCGAAAUCUUUAAUCCAAGAGCAAAAGCAAAGGAAGAGUGCGUAUAGAACGAUUCACGUAACGAAAAGAGAGCGAAGAGGACUCACAUCGAGAAGAGGGAGGAGCUCUUCGACAGAAGUCGCCGGCGAGCGGAGACGAUCGCCGAUUUUACGGAGCCGAUCCUCGAGUCCCUUAUCCGCGCUCGCCAUCUCCCCUCCGGAGAUCACAGAUCCCCUUCCUCCGCCACCACCAAACUGAUCGAAACCCUAGAAAAACCCUAGAAAUCCGGAUCCGAACGCGAAUCCACCGAUCGGAGGACGCGAUCGAGCGAAUCUACGGAAGAGAAAACCGCAAAACGUCCACGGAUUUAGGGCUCCGAUGGAUUUCGCAGCUAGGGUUUCGAGAGGAGCUCGCCGUUAUUUACCUUCUCCGACCUUUUUUUCCCCCUUUUUUUUUUUUUUCUCUUUCGCUUUUUGGAUUCGCAACGUUGUGUUUCUUUUUCUCUCCCCUUUUUUCCUGGUAUUUUUAAAUCCUUUUAAUUUACAUUUAUUUCUUAUUAUAUAUAUAUAUACAUGUGGCACCCUCGACGUACGUGAAGAGUAAUAAGGCGGAUUCGGCACGGUUUAUUCACUGGAUUUUACCGAGGGGCCUCGCGUCCGCGAACCGGGUUUUUCUCGGCCUUCGGUUCCAGCGCGGAGAGGACAAAUGUUUUCCCUGCACCGAGUGUACGAUUGCAUUUCAUAUACCACAUAUUUAAAAGUAAACAAGGAUUAAUUGCACUCCAAUGUCCAAACAGGGUCUUAAUAUUUAUAAAAGCACCAAUGAUAUUUUACAAUUUGAAGGAGUAUUUAUAAAAUUACAACCCGUCACGAAGAAAUUAACCCUUAAUUAAUUUUGUGACAUGCAUUAAGGUGUAUUAAGUAUAUGCAUAAACCGGGUGCAAGGAGUUUUUUCUGUUGAGAGGCGGGAAAUAGCCCACGCGCCCUUCAGUCACCCCCGGCGAACUGACUACUGUGGCCUUCGUGCCCAGUAAAAAUAUAUGGAAGCGUAGACAUGUCAACGGAUUGGACUCGGGAUGAAUUUUUAAAAAUUUGAAUCCAAAUCCGACUUUAAACCUAAGAUCUGAAUUCAAAUUCGAAUCCGACAGAUUUUAAAAAUUUAUAUCUAAACCUGACCCGAUCAAAAAUUCGAAACUCAAAUCCGAACAAUUAUUUUUUUUUUCAAUAUUUCAAAAUAUAUUACAUUAAAUCUAAAUUUUUAAAGUUAUAUAUAUAUAUAUAUUUAUUUAUAUAUAGUUGGACUGGGCUACUAUUAGUAGCAAAAUCUCAUUGUUGCUACAAGUUUUUUAGCAUUUGGAUCAACUCUUUUCAUUAUUUCUAACUAUUGGAUUAAAUACUAUAAUCCAGUGGGGACCACUCAACCAUAGAAGGACCACUCAACUCUAACUGACUAAUAUCAUCCUGACCCUACAAUUUUUCAUCCAAGGGUUAAAAAUUUGAUAGCAAAAAGAGCGUUUUACUAUCAAUAGUAUUCCAGCCUAAUUCUAUAUAUAUAUAUAUAUAUAUAUUAUGCAUAAUAAAUUCGGGUUCGGGUCGAAUUCGGGUUCGGAUCAGGUAUCGUUAAAAUUCAUAUUCGAGUCCAUAUCCAUCGAAUUUUUAUUUUUGAUAUUCAUAUCUGAAUCAAUAUCCAUUUAGCAUUAGAUAUACCCGCUUCAUUCGGAUUCGGAUUCGAAUAAAAUUUCGAAUAUCCAUACCCACUACUAUCAUAUAUCUUAUAUUCUUUUAAUCCAAAAGUCAUCAUUUCUGACUUAUCGCGGACACGUGCGCCGGCAUACAUAUAUCUAUAUUAUGUAAAAUUAAAAUUUAUUUAAAUUUUAUAAAUUCUAGAAUUCCACCCGUAAGAUAUACAUCCCUAUACCCUGUAAUUGGUGUACAAAUAGUAUUUUAUUCAUAAAAUUUAGAGAAAACUUCAAAUACCCUCUUGUGGUUUCACUCUUUCUCACUUUAGUAUCAUGUGGUUUAAAGUGUAUCAAAUUAGUACCCUGCGAUUUUGCACUUUCUCACUUUAGUACCCUAUGGUUUAAAGUGUAUCAAGUUAGUAUCAUGUGGUUUCGCACUUUCUCACUUUAAUACCCUGUGGUUUCGCACUUUCUCACUCUAGUACCCCUAUAGUUUAAAAACCAUAGAGUACUAACUUAAUACAAAAAUAAAAUCACAGGGUACGAAUUUGAUAUAAAAAUAAAACCACAGAGUACUAACUUGAUACACUUUAAACCACAGGGUACUAAAGUGAGAAAGUGUAAAACCACAGGGUACUAACUUGAUACACUUCAAACCACAAGGUACUAAAAUAAAAAAAUGCGAAACCACGGGGGGGUUUUUUGAAGUUUUUCCUAAAAUUUACCAAACUAAGGACUAUUGGGCUAAUUACACUUUUGGUCCUCAAACUAUGAGGCAUCUAACACUUUGAUUUUCAAAACUUUAAUUCAUUAUAAUUUAUUGCUCGAACUUUUUAAAUUAUUACAAUUAAAUUCCACAACCUAUUUUAGCUGACUAAAUGUUGACAUAUUGAUAAUGUAGAAGUGAUGUGGAAGCAUUCUAACUAAAUUGGAUUGUGAGACUUGAUUAUAAUAAUUUAAGAAGUUUGAGUCAGAAAUUAUAAUGAAUUAAAGUUUCAGAUUUAAAAUGUCAUAUCGCCCAUUGUUUGGGGACCAAAACUAUAAUCUACCCAUGGCCUAAAAUUAUUAUUUAUUUAUUUAUUUUAAUUUGUUUAAUUUGGGUCUAAGUCAUAUUUUUGGUUUUUCAACUAUUAGACACAUGACACUUUGAUCCUCAAAAUUCAAUUUACUAUAAUUUCUGGUUCAAAUCUUUUGAAUUAUUAAAAUCUAUUCAUACGAUUCAAUUUAAUUAACUAAAUAUUAAUAUAUUACUAAUGUAAAAAUAAUGUACUAGUAAUAUACCCCAUAAAAUGAUAAUAAUUAAAAUGUCACAUCAUUAUGUAGAGAGCUCUCCCGCUUUUCGUAUAUAGAGUAAUGCUAUGGGUUCCUCAAAAAGUAGCCAUGUAUAUUGUUGAUGACUCAGGGUCUAACAUGACAGCUAAUUUGGAAUACUAAAUUCAAAAUUCAAAUUGUUUCAAACACUGGUCAUGCAUGUGCCAAAUUAUAUCGCUAAUUUAUUCUGCUCGAAUUAUGAAAUACCAAAGAAUCAUCAACCAGAAGUGUGAAACGAGACUCGACAUGAGCCAGGGUCAUAUAGCGGGUGGAGUACGGAUCCCCGACUGACAAUCAUUGUGGGUGGCACGCAGUUCCCCAUAAGAUCAGCUAGGACUAGCGAGACAAAUCUCAUAUUAUUUGUGCUUAUAAGUAUAUUUGAGCCUUAUAAAAACGUCAAAACUUAAAAGGAGAAGAAAUAUAACACCCCUAAUAUUUGAAAUAAUUUUAUAUAUAAGAUAUACUAUGGCUGAAUAUUAUAUCUUAUAAUAUUUAGCCAUAUUAUAAGAUACAUGGGUACCUUUUGAGGAACCACUAGCAUUAGGCUAGUUUUUAUAAGACAUUCUUUGUUGAUGGCCAUAAAGUAUAAGUGUCCUUUCCCAUGGUUAAUUAUAAUUGUGCUUUGCAUUAGUGGAUCUGGCUAUCUAUGGUGUGUAUUAUUUGUUGUGAUAACCUAAUGUGCACUCCGUUAGUUGGUUAAUGUAAUGAUCUAGAGCAUGUUCGGCUCACGAUCAGAAUGAGAAAUGAAAUUGAAUUGUAUCAGAAUGGAAAAUAAGAAGAUAAACUGGUCGAAAAUAUUUGGUAUAUUAUUGAAAUAAAAAUCAGAACGGACAAUCGAAACACUUAGAAAUCUAAAAGAAGAUUUUAGUUAAGAGAGAGAAGAGUAAUGAAGGAAGAGAAAAGGCACGUGCUUGUUAGAAAUAGUUUUGAGCGGCAUAUUCUGAAAUAAACAAAUUCAGGAUUUAAAAUCGAAUUAAGCCAUAAAUGGAUUAGAUCAUUUUCAUUCAAGUGUAGUAUACAAAUCGAAAUCCGAUAUCUGUAAAAUAAACAACGAUUAUCAAAAUCAAUAAAACUUAUUUCGAUUUUAGAGUCUAAAGUAGGUGAAUCAAACAAAGCCCCUAAAAUAUUUGUUUAUAUACGCUGAUUGGCAUUAUUGUCUUUUUUAUUAUUAUUAUUACUUUUUUUUUGGCUGCAAAAUAGUUGGGAAAUUAAUUAUUGUUGUCAAGUACAAUGGCAAUUUGGUUAUUUGGCUUGAUUUCCUGCUAAUCUGGGUUAUGCUGAAGAGGUUAAGUUGAAGAUUAAAUUGCAGGAAUGUUUAGGGUAUGUUAGUUUCACGAAAAAUUAAAAAAAAAAAUCGAAGAAAAUUAAUUUUUAGUGGAAAAGUAAUUUUAGGAUCCUUCGACGUUUAUUAGUUUGCAUAAAAGGAAACAAAUUGGUUUGUAGGGGAAAAAAAAAAAGUAAAGAGUAUUUUUAUUAUUUUCUUUUAUAAAAUAUAAAUUCAAUAUUUUAAUAUGGGAUUUAUAUAGUAAAACUAUACUUUCUAAUUAAUUAAAAUAAUAAUUUAAUAUUUAUAUUAUAUUAUAUUAUAUAAAUAUUAGUUAUAUAAUAUUAUUUUUGCAUGCAAUUUUGAUAAAUUAUAUAAUUUCAAUUAUGUAAUUUACUUCUCUAUUUUCACGUGGACUUGUGUGAGCCACGCUUUGCUUUCGUUUUUGGCUAGGUUUAAUUUUGCUAUCUAACUUUUUAAUUUAUUUAAUUUAAAUCAAUUUAAUUUGAAUCAGUUCAUAACUAUUUAACUUUAAAAUUUAAAUACAUAAUAUAUUUUUACAAAUUUAAUUAACAAAUUUUAUAUAAUUGGUAUAACUAUAAAUUUAUUAAAAUAAGCAAUUAGCUUAAAUUUUGUACCAAAAAGUCAUUAAAUGACUAACAUCAAACAAAUUAAAAUGUUAGGUACUACUGCCAAAAUUUUAAAAGGUUAAGUAGUCAAACCACAAUAGUCUAUAAUUUAAGUUUUAUACAUUUUUACCGAAAAGAUAUAAAUGCCUCUGUUUACUUGUAAAAUUAUUCUAAUUCUAUUUUUUUUUAUUUGUUGUGUUUCUCAUCUCACUUUGAAAUUAUAUACAAUUAAUGAAAGAAAAGGAAGGAAAAAUGCAUGGAGAUCACCUCAACUACAAAACAUUUUGAAAUUAGACCCUUUCUAUAUAUAUUGACAGUAUUAACUAAUUCCGAUUAUUUUGCAUUAGUUAAUGUUAUGACAAACGCACAAACGGAAACAAAAUGACGAAUACGAAACAAUCAAACCACAAGCAGAAAAUAAGAAGAACACAUAGAUUUACGUGAAAAAUUCUUUGCAGGAAAAAAUCACGGGCGAGGGAGGAGAGAACUUCACUAGCGAACGAAAAAGAAAAUACAAUGUUCAGAUGAUACAACCAACCACGAUCUCACGCCUCUAGGGCAAAAACGAAGAGGAAAACUCUUAACGGGUUUCGAAUUCGGCCUGUCGGCCUGAGCCCUCCGCUAUCCAUCACAGACAUUCAUUUUUCCUUCACAAUUUUACUUUUCCAAUUUGGUCGCACCGCGAAGCUGUUGACGAGUCGAAAAUUCGAAUUUGAGUCGAUUAUCAAUUUCGAGUCACAUCUAACAGUUAAUACGGCCAACAUGUUUGCUCACAAAAUGCAUCUAAGAAUCAGCAAAAACACAAUAGCUUGUGAAUUAAAACCACUGAUCUCAGCUAUCACAUGAUCAACUUUAUUAAUUUGCUGGAUAAUAAUGGAAAGCAUGCAUGAAUUCAGCAAACAUCACAUAACACCAAGAAGAUUCAACAGAAGCACAGUACUUGGCCUGCAGAAAAACUCUGAACAAAAUCAAAGGAAAUACACAACACCAAAAGAUGGAAAUUUCACUUCGAAAUUCGCCGCUUCGCCUUUCGCUGAAAAUUUGCGCCUUCUCGCGACAGUAAGAAACUGUCGGCUCGAAAUGAGUCGCGAGAAAAAGACAUUUGACAGCAUAGAUCUAUUGCUGCAACUUUACCUGCUCAUGAUAUACAAUAAGUGUAGUCUCAGCAUCGAUAUGUAAUCAGGGAGUUAAGAAACAGUGAAGUUGUAUGAACAACAACCUGAGAAGCUUUUCCUCCCUGUGCUGUGAGACUAGCCUGGCACUUCUCCUCCACCAGCUUAUCUCGCGCUCUUUCUCGCGAAGAUCUCGCUCCGCGCACUCCAACGCGGACUCGAGCUCGGCAAUCCGCUCUUUCUGCCUUGUUUCUAACAGCUCGUGCAAUCUCCGCUCCAGUUCGCGCGCGGAUACGCCACUGUGAGGAGGGCUUUGUUCUUCUGCCAACUCAUUCCCUCCACUGUAGUGCUUCUCCUGAUUUAUAUGAUGCCAAAGCUUUAAAGAUCUUCUUCAAACAUGCAAUUGUGUUAAGUUAUAUUCGAUCGACUAUUCGAAUUAUCUAUCUUAGAGAUUUUGCUUCAUGCAGAUAAAAGAACAUGUGUGAGCACCAAAAGUGAUCUAAUUUUGAUAUAUAAACACUAAAAAACAAUCAAACAAAAACUUGUAAGUGAUAAAAAAUACCGAAAUAUAACACAACCAUAUAUACUGGCCAAUAUAAUUCAAGUGGUAUAUAAUAUAACAUAAGAUUUUCUUUUCUGCAAUUAAGCUUACCUCUGUUUCGUCUUGUCGAAGAUGCACCGAUGAAUUUUUCUCUUCGACAUUGAGCCGCAGGCGUUCCAAUUCAACUUCAAGCAGCUCUUCCUCCAUCUUAUCUUUACCUCCUCCAGUAUUAUCUCUGACAGCAUUUUCUGCACUUUCCGAAAAUUUGUAAGAAAUGCAAUUGCUUAUGCUGCCAUAUUCAUAACAAUCUGAGUGAGAGAUCAGAGCAGUUUUCGACUCCGCGACGCUAAAAGAGACAUCUUUCUUGUGAUCAAUCUCAUUCUUAAUGUCUGUAAGUAAUAUCUCCAUUUGUUUUCGCAACUCCACCAUCUUGUUUAAUUCGACCGCGCUCGUCGCGAGAAGAAGAACUAGACCUGCACCCAUGCCAAGAUUCAGAGGAACCCCUUCCUUGCCUUUCCCUAGAAUCGCGGAAAGAGGAAUUAUCAGCAAUGAUACUUAAAGCUUUUUAACUCGUAAAAGUUCGAGGAUGAAAAUGAAACUUUAGACUACAGGUUCAGGGAUUGGUAGUGCAAUUUACCCAGAUAAAAAGUACAUCAAGAAACAUAGUGUUAGUUUUAUAUAUCAGUACAUAGUGUACUGUAAGAAAAGGGAGAAAAAAAAAUAAAAAUAAACACCACAUACAAGAAUCUAUUAGGGCCUGUGAAUAUCUUUAUUUGGUAAAUCAACUUAAUUAACUAACUCAAAGAGUUUAUACAUUUGAAUGACAAGGUGUGUAAUCAGAUAUGUUUAGAAUGAAAUAUUGUAUUCUGACUAUAAAUUAUAUUUUCAGAAUAAAAUAAAUCUCAUCGUAGAUAAAAUAUACUAUUCUAUCGAAUCAUGAACAAUAAGAGGUUUGAAAAGUUGAAAUCAAACUUCUUACCUACAAUUAUACUAGAAGAAUUCUCGUAUAGAAUAAGUUAUGCAAAGUUAACUGUAUUAUAAUAAUAUUUUAUGACGCAAUCUAAAACCAUUCAUCAAAUCCAUCCAUUCUAUAACAAAUAAAUCAAAUCCAACAAUCAAAUCCAAUCUACAACUAUAUAUCAAACACAAUCCACACAUCCCGCGGGCUACAAAUCAAACAAAACUGUAUAAAAUCAGCUUGCUCGUUCUGAUACCAUGCAUGUUAUCUAAAAGAUCGAUAUAACAAAAGGCUAACAAGAAAUACUCAUGACACUUACAAACUUAAAAAGAAGAGAAAGGAAGCCUCUCCAUACCUGAAGAAGCAGAAGCAGAAGAAGAAGAAGAACCCUCCACCUCUCUUUCUUCUUCCUCCUCUUCCUCUCCUUCCUCCACCACCACCACCACCUCUUCCUCUUCCUCUUCCUCCUCUUCAUUCUUCUUCUCCCUCUUCCCCUUCCCAUAAGCACAGUACCCCGGAAACCGCACUCGGCACCCGACCCCUUCCCCGCCGCUGCUGCUCCGUCCCGGAGACUGCAGUCGGCGCGAGAGGAGGACUCGAAUUCGGGAGAGCAGCGACCGCGGAGAGUAGUAGUAGUUGGAGUUGUAGUAGUAGUAGUAACACUCAGAAGGAGAAGAGGAGGAGAUAGAAUUGAAAUGAGGAGUUGGAGAUUGUUUAGCGAAAUGGUCACUCCUUCUACUUCUCCUCUUGCCCUCCAUCUCUUCUUCUUCUUCUUCUUCUUCUUCUUCUUACUCUCCUUUCUCUUCUUCUUCCUCUUUGUUGUCUCCUUGAUAAUGCACAAGGACAAUGCCUAUUCUCAUACAUGCACAUGUGUGUGUGUAUACUAUAUAUAUAUAUAUAUAUAUAUAUAUAUAGAGUAGGACUACUGUGCUAUUAGGAGCACAGCAGUCCUUAUGCUCCUAAGUUCUUAACCGCCCAUCAAAUUUGAUGGGUGGUUAGGAUAAAAGAGAAAAGAGAAAUUGAAGAGAAAUUGGGUUUCUCAAUUUCUCUUCUCUUUGAAUUUCUCUUCAAUUUCUCUUCUCUCUUUCACCCUAACCACCCAUCAAAUUUGAUGGGCGGUUAAAAACUUAGGAGCACAAGGGCUGCUGUACUACUAAUAGCACAGUAGAUAUAUGUAUAUAUGUAUAUAUAUAUGCUUGUUGGUCCUAUUUAUUGGAUUUGUAUACUAAAAGAAAAAUGAAAGGGCCAUUCACCUCAUCUUCUAUUUUAACAAAGCAAAUAUGUAUGGAGACCUCCACAACUAAAUGUUAUUUUGAAAUAAUAAAAAUUUAUAGAACUAAUCUGAACUACAGAUUAUUUUGGAUUGAGUACUUGACUUUCCAAAAUUUUAUUUUGACUAUCCAAUCUUCCGAUUUACUUGAUUUGCGUCAAUCAUCGGCUACACUUUGAUUUCAAAAAAUAAGUUAAUUAUUUAUUUUAAUAAAUUUAUAGUUGCAAAAAUUACAUAAAGUAUAUUAACCAAGUAUGUAAAGAUAAACGACAUAUUUAAAUUAAUUUUAAAGUCAAAUUAUCAUUGACUAUCAAAUAAAACACAUUGAAAGGUCGGAUCAUAAAGUCAAAAUUUUGAAAGAUUGUAUAGUUUAUUUAAAAUGGUCCAUAGUUUAGAUAAGUUUUGCAGGCCUUUAUCUUUUGAAAUAGCCCCAUCAACUUUUUAGCUAAAAAAUUUGAAAUUAUACAAUAUCAGUGAAUCAAAUUUAAAAACUAUUUACUUUAUUGUAAAUAAAAUUAGAUUGAUUAAUUGCUAAUAACUAAUUACACCAUAAAACUUGACAAAAAAAAUUGACUUAAUCAGCUAAAGAAUAAUUAAAAUUUUAAAAAAAUUUAAAAAAUAUCUCAAUAAAAAAGAAAAUAAGGUGAGGGGCCUAUGGUUGAGGGGUUCUCCACUCAUUUUAUUUUAUCCUUUAUUAUAUAUUAAUAAUUAUUAAUGAAUAUGACCCAAAUGUGGGAGAGAGAGAGAGAGAGAGAGAGAGAGAAUCAAAUCGUGGGAGAUAUCGUUGUAUUAAUAAAUGGAGGGAAAUGGGUGGGGACCCACCACGCGACAAGUUCCCUUUGCUUCUUGGCGGGAAACGAUGCCAAGAAGUGCCACGUCAGUUUUUUUAAAUUAAUAAAUAUUAAAUACAUUCAUAUUUGUAAAUAUAGGGAAUUAUAAAUAUAUUUCUAUAAAAUUUAUAUUUUUAUAUAUUAUCUCUGUAUUUUUUUAAAUAUUUUUCUCUACCUUGUUAUCGUUAUAGAACUGUUUUAUAUUUCAAGUAAAAUAUAAAUUUUACUAUCACAAAUAUGUCCUUACAAAAAUCACAACAGUAUAAAUAAGAAGGACAAAUAUGUCAAGUUAUCUCAUAAAUUAACUAGAGUUAAGUAUUUAACUUAUAGUUAAUUAAAGUUUUCUAAUAGAUUCCAACGGCAGGGACAUAUUUAAAAAUAUUAGGAUUUUUGUAGAAACAAUAUAUGAAAGUUGAACUUUAUAGGGACAUAUUUAUAAUUCAUAUAUUUGCAGGAACUUGUAUGAAAUUAACUCUUUUUUAUUUAUGUUUGUGGCUUUCUGGUCAUCGGAUUGUUUUAAAAUUUGUGCAGUACUAAUUUCAUUAGAUUUUUGUUGCUAAUGUGUAUGAAAUUUAGGUGAUCCGACGACGAACGCAUGUUGAGCAUCGGUGCUUUUAAAAAUAUAGUAGCUCAACUUUAAUAAAUAUUUAAAGUAAACUGUUAUUGUUAAAGUAAUAUUUUUAUAUUGUGUGGGGGCCAAAUCCAAUAAUCUAAGACACAGUUAGAUGUAAUGAGUUUCCUUUGGCAUUACAAAGCUUCAAUUUGGCAAUAUCAGUUCUCAAAUUUAAAUCUCUUUAAUAGAUUUAUCAAUAAAUUACGCUUGUUAGUCACUGCACUUUUAGUAAAAUUUCGUUUAGAUCAUGUCACAAAACUUUAAUUUUGUUUCAAUUAAAUGACUAAACUUUAAUUUUUAUUUCAAUUUGGUUAUUUUUAUUUAAUUUUCAAUAAUUUUUCCAACAAAAUAGUUCAGUUGUCAUAUUAUCUAUCUUUAGAAAAUCACGCAACAAUCAAAAUUAAUACUUAAAAUAGUAAACUAUUAUGUCAUUUCUCAAUAUUGAAAUUAGUGCCCCAUCAUUCCUUCGUAAAAAAUAAAAAUAAUAAAAUUCAAGACCAGUAACCAAAUCACGUAAAAAUUAAAUUUUAAUGACUCGAUUGAAAGAAAUAUAAGUUUGAUGAUCUAACAAGAUUUCGCCGAAAAGUUCGGUGACCAAUGAUGUAAUUUAACCCUGAUUUAUUUAAAGAGAUGAAUUAAAAUCAUUUUGUAGGAGCAUAGGGGACGUAGGUGCUUUUAUUUGUUCGUAUUCUUUUAUUUGUUCGUAUUCUGUAUCAUUUUAAUUUUAGAUUUAUGAGAUGUAUAUAUUUUUUACUUUGAAAUAGGAGACCAUGUAAUGUGCUGCAAGAUUCCAACGUGCGUUCGAAAUGCGAUACCAGUUUUGAUUUAUAAUUUGUACCAUAAAAUUUUAGUUUAUAAUCAGCAUUCACUAAUAGAAUAAAAUAAGAGAAUAAUAUUGAAAAAAAUAAGCAAGCAAUAAAAAGACUUAGAAACACAGCUAUUUUCGAAAAAAUAAUACCAAUCAAUCACAAUCUACCAGGCGGAAUUAAAUAACAUACUCUCUACGAAAUUAACUAUUUAAUCCAAUCGGAAUGGUAGUAUUAGCAGAGUCAUUUUUACUUAUUAAUAGAAAGAUUUCUUACUGAAUUAACUUAAUAAUCAGUGAUAGGAUUUUGACGAAAUUUUAAUUCAUCUAUGUUAAUAAUAACACCAUGCAUUCACUAAUCGAAACGGUGUUAACGUUUUUAUUAUUAUCUAAUUUCAAAGAUACUUGAUUUCUAAUUCCAGAGGCUUUUAUGUUUGAAUCUCCAAAAAUUGGGUGCACAUUUAACACACAACAACUUUGGGGGGAACAAAAGAAUAAUAGAGAGUGACAGAGCUGAGAUAUGUGGAUUGUAAUCUUAAAAGAGAGAGAGAGAGAGAGAGAGAGAGAGAGAGAUAGAGAGAGAGAGUAUGUAUGUAUGUAUGUAUGUAUGUAUGGAUGUAUGGGGUUGGAGCAGAGGAUUCACAAGCAAGGUGUGAGGCAAUUUAUUAAGUGGAGGCAAUAAAAUGCAGCAACUUAUCUGCAUAUGUCUUGUGCUUGUGCAAUAAAUUGGAAACCUCAUUAAUUGUCACCAAUUAUUGGAGCUUUCAUGGGGAAGAGGAAUUGCAUAAAUGAUUGAUUUUUUUUGGGGGGGAAAAUAUAAAUACAAUAAAGUAAUAAAAUAAACAAGGAAAAACUUCAAAACCCCCCUUGUAGUUUCGUACUUUUUUAUUUUAGUACCAUGUGAUUUUAUUUUUGUAUCAAGUUAGUAUCCUAUGAUUUUUAAACCACAGAGUAUUAAAGUGAGAAAGUGCAAAACCAGAGGGUGCUAACUUGAUACACUUUAAAGCAUAGAAUACUAAAGUGAAAAAAUGCAAAACCACAGGAUACUGACUUGAUACACUUUAAACCAUAGGGUACAAAAGUGGAAAAAAGUGAAACCACAAGGGGGUAUUUGAAGUUUUCCCAGUAAACAAAGAAGAAUGAAAAAAGAAUAGGUGAUUUAGGGAACUUCAAAUCUUCAAUGAAGGGGAUCAAGUGGACUCCUCCCACACUCAAAAGUCAAAACUCGAGCUCAGAACCCUCCAAAUCAGACCUCAUGCUUUAUUACUGGAAUCGUUUCUAAUUUAACAUCCCGCAAAAGAUAACAAGUACCCAGCAUGUUCUGUAAUUGAAAAAUAAUAGAGGACUAAUCCACUUAAUAUAGCAAAAAAGAAAAAGAGAAAUAAACAAUUCUAGUUAAAUAAGGUUAUUUUGAGAUAUUUCAGGUGUUCUGUUUUUAUUUGAACUUAUAUAUAUAUUCUUAUGAUCUAUAGCCAAAUAAAAUAUCGAUUGUUGAAUGACCAAGAACAAAAAAAAUCAUAUCCAUAAAAUCUGUCCUGCAAUCAAGCAUAAACUUAAGGGUCGAUAUCAAUUUACUUCCUUGUUGUUUUUAGCAUAUUUUUACUUUAUCACUAUGGUUGUGUAGUACAAUAUAGUAAUUUGCUCUUAUAAAUCUACCCCACGGCAAAAAGUCUACAAUAUAGUAAUUUGCUCUUAUAAAUCUACCCAAUGGCCAAAAGUAUCAAUUUGUUAUGCUAUUUACCGAUAGUUCUUUGUAGUAAAACAAAAAUAAAAAUACGAUCUUUUCUAUAUUCUACAUAGGGACAAAGUGUAAGUUUAUAUUUAAAAGGCGACAUGCAUCUUACACCCCACAUAUUCAAUAGCCACUCGAUGUGAUUACACUCCGAUACUACAAAAAAAUUACUAAGUAUCCAAAAAGGCCCUAAAUUUUUACAUUCGAGAUGCGAAUUGCCAACUGCGAAGCAUGGAAAGGAACACAAGACGCCCAAAGCAAAUUACAACUUGUUUUUUAUGUAGAACAUAACAUAUCACAGGCAUAAGAAACAAAUCUUUUUGCGGUGAAACCGAAAGGAUUUUUGUUAGCUUAGACAAAAAUGGAACAUAAUUAAAAAGAAAGAAAAAAAAUCUAUCAAUUUAUAUGUUGUUAACAUCCUACUGCAUACACAGGAGCAGCAUCUACAAAGACUUUGAUAAAACAGAGCCUUUUUCAAUAACACCUACGCACAAGCAACUAAUCAAUAUUACUCUUGUAUUUGGACUUCACGAGAGACUUAAUUAACAACAAAACGAGAUGAAGAUAAAUAUUGGAUGAACCAAAAUUGCAGAUCUCUGAAAAUCUCUUUUACUUCAUCGGAUAGGUGCAAAAUGUCCGUCUUAAAUUAGAUCUCGCCAAAAUGUCCGUCUUAAAUUACGCUGUCAAAUGGGUGCAACGAAAAAAAUAAGUUAUACAAUAACUCUCUGACUAGACGAACAGAAAACUUAGAACAACAACAAAACUGAUUAUUAUGCUAAAAAACAAACGAUACAACAAAUAACAGUUGGCCAUGUUUCAUCGUCACCAUCAUAAUAUCCGCAGCGGUUGGUUCCCCACUCUGGUUUGGUCCACCUUCAACUUCAUCUUCUUUCGUGCCUUCAUGCUCGCGACAUCCUGGAAAGGAUUCGCCCCGUCGAAUGAUUCCUUACCAUUCUUCACCUUUUUCCUCUUACCGCGAUCGUAUUCCUCGUCCCUGAGAUAUAAGAAGCUAAAUUUACAACCCUUUCGACAAAGCAUAAGCUGAGAAACACAAACGAUAGCUGCAACUACUGUAAACAGAUAAAUUAUACUUAACAUUAUUUUCAUGUUCUAAAUAAAAUCCACAAUAGCAUAUGGGUCUGAGGCAAUGAUAACGGUCGUGCUAUCGGGUCCUAGUUAUCAUGGGUUUGAAUCACAAAAAAGCACCUCCUUGGAUUAUAGGGCAAGUUGUGUCCAUUAGACUGCUCAUCACACCUCAAAGUGUCUCGUAUGCUGGACUGCCUAUUAAAAAAUAUUUUACAAAAAUAGUACAUGUAAACUACGCACGCCACUAGCUUCUAAUGACGAUAGACUAUUACAUUAAAAGAUCAAAAUGCACUGGGUGCAGAUAGCAGAAAUACUACCAUUUGUAAACCAACAAUAUGAAAAUGUUAAUCUGGGCACAUAAUCCAUUUGUUUCACUACAAAUAUAUUGAUUUUAUAUAGCAUCAGCUAGAAGUUAACGAUAGUUGUCAAGCAACCUAAAUGCCUAAAAACUGUCCAGACAAAAUUUUUUGCCUUUCUGGACUAGAGGACAUAUCUUUUUCUGAUAAGGCCCUGCUGUAGGGUAUACUGUUGUUUGAUAAAGUAUUGGUUGAGUAACGACAACGAUAUUACGAGAAGCACAAUACUAAUAUAUUUCCAUUAGCUUCUUUUCCAGUAAUUGGAAGCACCAAAUUUAAGCUUCUGCCUUUGAGGCUUAGAACCUCAUUUUUGGGUUCCCCUGCAUUAGAAGCCUCAAAACUUUCCUGCUGCCACUGAUCUACCAGAGCAUGGUGUGCCGAAAGCAAAAAAAAGGUUUCUGCUCCAACAAUCAUUCACCCAUUUCUGCAAAUACUUUCAAGGCAAAUGUCACACCCCAAUAAUCCCACAUCAGAUAGAAAUGGGGAAUGUGAUUGAAUAUAUAAGAAACUUAGAUACUAGUAAUAAUAACCGGGCUUAAGCAUUUUGGGCCGGUGGUUUGGACCCAAUGAGUUAUUGUUACUAGUAGGCUGGGUCGUUACAUUUGGUAUUAGAGCCGGUUCACCAGCCGAAGAUGUGUGACGAGUCUCGGCUGAGCCAGGGCCUGAAAGAUAAGGUAAUAGCUAUGCCGGAGUCUGAAUGACAAAGUGACCGGCUAUGCCAGGGUCUGGAUGACAAGGCUAGUAAGACAAGUCUCACAUUGCCUGGUGAUCUUGGGCUGUGUGUGUGAUUGGUGACGAAGACGUCAGAACCUUAACGGGAGGAGUCUGUCACACUCCAAUAAUUUCACAUCGGAUAGAAAUGGGAAUGUGAUUAAGUAUGUAAGAGACUUAAAUACUAGUAAUAAUAACUGGGCUUAAGUAUUUUGGGCCGGUGGUUUGGCCCAACGAGUUAUUAUUACUAGUGGGCUGGGUCGUUACAGCAAAAUAGUCUUAAAAAGUCCACUCAAAUUUGAGUUCGCUUUUCACGUAAAAACUUUCAUGCCAACUGCUCGUUACAUAUUACAUCACACCACACCAAAUAACUCCAAUGAUAAAAUCAAACGAUCAAUGUUCAUCUAAUAUCUGAAAUAUUACAUAUUAAACCAGAGAAUUCUAAGCAAGCACAUGAAGCCUACUCAAGCAGUUUUAAUAACUGUAUUAUUGUUUGACUCCAACUAAAUUUUAAUUUAAAAAUUCAAUCUCCAUUCACAAUGCACCCUUUCACAUGAAUUUCAAUUGGAUGAAUUUACAAUGCUCCCUUCUACUUAAAUUCCAAUGGCAAGCAUGUGACUGCCCCCUUUCACAAUGUGGAACAGUGUGAUGUAUUUACUUCUUCCAGUUUAUGUGUAACAGACUCCUCUUCAAUGCAUUCAGGGAGUUCAAAAGAUGUACAACGGUGGAAUGCGGGAUGUACUUACUCCUUUCAGUUUUUGUGUAAACAGACUCCUCUUGGUUGCAUUCAGGGAGUUUUAAAGGGAUGCCUCUUAUAAAGUAUAGAUUCAACCACAUCCCCAGUUCUGAUAUUUAGGACCUUUAGCGCAAGCUUGUCAAACUAACAGCCAAUACUGAAGCUUGGCAAGAACCAUCUUCUCACGAUAUUUUAAUGUAUUUUUUAUAUAUUAGCAAAGUUGUUUAUAUUUAUUCAUUUAGCAAAUUGUCUACAACGCCCUUUAUGGACUUUCGGUUUUUUUUUUUUCUUUUAUACUGCAGCCUAAAUACUAAAGAGUGAAAACUUACUUCUUUCCUAUCCUCAGAAAGUAAAUUCAUGUCUCCCUUUAUGGAAGUUACACUGGUGCUAUUAAAUGGUCAAUCAUUUUUUGUGAUUACAUCUUAAAGGGAACUUCAGUCAUUUAGAGAAUUUAUCUCUUUACAUUGCUCAAAAUGGUUUAUUAGUUAUUACCAGUUUGUUUAUCCAUGUUCACUAUGUCAGUUUGAAAUUAUUUUUUUUGCUUUCCAUCCAGAGUGAUAUAAGAAGCAAAGAAAUUAUUCAUAAUCUCUCUUUCAGAUAAUUAAAAGUUAAAACAAUUCCGGGCAUUGCAUAGGCAACAAACUUGACAUAUUAAAACCCCCACAUUUGUAGAAUUGUGCAAACUAUCAUCUUUAGGAAUCUAAUAUUAACUGGCUAUGAAGAGAACUGCAGAAAUUCCUAAUUUGUGGGUAUUAAAACAAAAGCAUAUAACUCAUCAGGCAAGGACAUAGUUAAUUGGCGAGAAGUGUCAAACGUUUAUAUUUAUAUAUCAUAGUUUGAACUCAAAAAUGAUAAUUUAAGUUGAAGAUCAAGAAAGUUUACCAUUCAUCCAGGACAUAACCAAUGCUUUUCUUUACUGAACUUUCUACCCUAUGCAGAUUUUCUGUCAUUGGCAAUUCUAUAUCAUCCCAUCGUGCAACUGCAUGCAGAAAAAAAGAAAAAGAAAAUCCCACAGUAAUACAUAAGAUUCAGGCAAGUACACAACACCAACAUGAAAAGAACAAUACAAGACGAGCAAAAAUGAAAAAAAGCAAUUGUUAUGCAAAUACUAACCAGUGGUUUCAGCUAAUCCCCUGGUGAGUAAACUCACCAACUCGUGCUGGUGUGUACCUUUAUCAUGUGAAUCAGUUUUACUUGACUUGCACUGAUCUGGCGCAUGGUUCAAGCAUAUUUUAGGCUGCUCAGAAGUACCAAGAGUGACACCAAUCUUUCGCUUUGUCUCAUCUAAUAAUUGAUCACUGGUAGAAUUACCAUUAGACUGAUUUCCAUUUUCUACUGUCUGAACAUUAGAAUCAGUUAUCAACCGAAACUGCAAGCUUUCACAGUGAGGGUGCUUGGAAGAAUUUACACUUAUGCUAUUAGUAGCCUCAGAUGUUGAUGUUCCUUGAUCGCUUACUCUUAAAUGAUCUGAAAGUCCACUUUUCAUGAGGUGUUUGGAACCUAGACAUCUUCUUUUUGUUCUCUUGAGUUUCUUCUUUUUAGCCAAAUUUAAUGAACUCAUAAAUAGUUGUUUCCUGCCAAAAUACUUGCUCUUUAAUAGAAUUUCUGGAAGUUUCUUCAAUUUUGUACCCAUUUCAUGGCAAGUACGAAUUGAUGUUUCAGGGACCGAUUCUGCAGCAAGUUCCUUAAGUAAACCAUUUGGAAUGUUUUUUUUAUUUGACAAUUUGAUAAGUUCUGGUUUCUCCACUUUAAGAAGGCCUUGGCCACCAUUCUGGUUUUGUAGAUUGCAUGAACGAACUUCAGAACUAAUUGCCUGGAUAAGUAAAAUCAGCAAAAACAUCAGUUCUGAUUUAACAACAAACACUAAUAGACGCUACAAUCUAUAUUUAUCUACCUGGUAUUUUGCAGCUGACAAAUUGCUGGUGCUGUUUUGAACGAAUCCAUUAGUAGGAGCUGACACACUCAAAUUUUCUUUCAAUUUAGCUUUCAAUUUCCCCUGGUGGGAUGCAUCAUAAUUUUGAAAUAUUCCGUUAGCAGCAGCAUCACUCUAGCAAGGACAAAGGGAGCAGACUUUAAAAAAAGAUAAACUAGCAUUCAUCCCGUUACUCUACCUGAGCGCGCACCACCCCNAAAAAAACACUCAUGAAAAGGUAGGAAAAAUGAAGUUUUACCUUGCAGAUAUCAGGUUCCAUGACAAGUGUCUUGGCAAGAACCUCAGAUGUAGGUUCAGGAAAUGCAGAGUUCUUUGACCCAGCAUGAAGGUAGUUUGACUUCACCUUCACAUCCAAACAAUUAGAAUCAUUUUCAGGCUCAAAAGAGGUAUCCUUUUUAUGAGAAGGUAUCACAAUAGGAUUGUCCUUUGGUUGAUCUUGCUUUGAGGAGUCGUCUGCCACCUUCUGAUCAGUAUUGUCAUUUGCAGCCACAGAUUCUUUCAAACAAUGCCCCAAUCCUUUAGAAGAAACAUUCCCAUUUAGUUGCAAGUUAGAAGAUUGAUUUGCACAUGACACGUUUUUGUUUGCAGAUUUUGGGGCUUCAUCCAGAUUUUCAUUGCCGCCAUUUCGCACAGAAGAUGCUGCCUCUUGCGAGGACUGACUAAAUUGUAUUUUUAUCAUAGAACUAGGCUGACAGCUGAUGGUAGGAUCUUUUUUCAAAUUCACCAUACUACAGAUGGAAGUGCUUAUUUUUGUUCCUGCCCCACCAUUUUGAUUUGCUCCUUUAGUGCCUGAGACAAUUUCACAGUUUGCUCUGUUUCCAGGGCCACAUUUAGAGAGGCUAUCCUUCUGCACCCCAUCAACUGAUCUUUUCACGAUCAAACUUCUAUCACGUACAUAGAAUAGCAUAUAGGCUUUUUGAGACAAUACAGUCUUCUCACUGACUUGGUGUACCUAUAUUUGAAUGUUUUAAAGAAAAGUCAGCACAAAAACCUAGUUGGCAACUUUCAUAACUUGAAAAUUUCUCAUUUCCCUUUAAUUCAUUGUCCUCCUUUUUGCGCUUAAGAUCCAUUAUGCACCUACUUGGAAAGGAUCACAUUUUAUACAUUUCAGACAACUAAAUGGACCAUCAGUAACUCCUCUACCAGUACUUUCCAAGUAUAUUUGCUAUUUAAGUUACAAGGAAGGAUAUAAACUCUAAUCUUAGAAAAUAGGACAUCACUGCCAACGUGUAGAUUAGCAGGAACAUACAUAUAUAUAUAUGCAUAUGCCUGCUGAUUGAAUCACAGAGUUGUUAGCAUGAUAUACCGGUAAGAUAUCAAAGUAAAUAGCAAUCAAAAUUCAAUAUUAAGGAAUCGUAGGCUUACAAAAUGUCCUCAAACUUAACCUGAUUAUCAUCAAGAGAAUGCCACAUGCCACUUGAUGUGCGUACGAAACAAUAAUAAUGACCAGAGUGGGUAUUCCAACCAGCAUGAACUAGGACACCAUAAAGGGUAUAUUUCAAGUCUCCCUCCUGCAAAGAUUACUGAAGAUUAUAGAAGCAAGAAAGGCAAAUGAAAGAGCAGCUGAAGCAAACCCAACAUUACACAUGCUUACUCACAUUGGGAUCGCUAACAAAUGGUUUCAAGUCGAUCCUGGGUUCAAACUCCACUUUUCUGUCAAUCUUUUGACCAGCAAUAUGAGAAUCAAAACGCUUGAGAUGAAUGGUGAGCACAAACGGAGCCUUAUUAAUCGUAAGCUGUUUAUAAGCCCUAACUUUCUGUUUGCACCGCUGACACUGAUAUUGCCUCUCCCCACCGUCAAGUUGCUCCAGCCCAGUGAAAUGUUUAAGUGCUUUAUGUAGAGAAUCAGCUUUCGCAAUUUCCAGACUCAAAUCCAAGAAUGGAUCAAACGUAUUCGAACAAUAGGAACACUGCAUACAUUUUACCUGCAGCACAAAUACAGAUAAGUCAAAACAGAUUACAAAGAUGGCCUCUUUCCUCUAUAAUACAUUUCCAAAUAAAAAAGAAAAAAAACCUAAGGCACCUGGCUUCUAAGACGACCGCCAAAAAUCUUGUAAACUAAACUUCUCUCAUAUGCACUAGGAGACUCACUUGGGACACCAGAAGGUAAACAACAUUUAUGCAUUGACUCAAGCAAGUUAAUCAUGUACUCAUGAGCAUCUUCCUGUCUGAAAUUCCGAAAAUUGCGAGAUAUGCCUGAAAGUAUAGUCAAAAGGUUGCAAUUCUUAAGUAGAGUAAAUCAACAGCAAGCAGUACAGAAAUAUAAGUGGAUCUAAUCAUUCAAAAAGUUUUUUUUGGGAGGGAGAUGGAAUCCAGGACACAAGUUUACAUCGCAAGUUCUUGACAAGAUGAGAUGGUGACAAUAUCUUCCCGGUAGAUUGUAGAGCAUGCAUAACAUGAUUCUGAAGAGCACACAUUGCACAGAAGCCAGCAGUACGGCCUAUAAAAGAUGAUGUGAAGUCAAGUUGACGAUCCAUAACAUGUGAAAAUGAAAAGCGCUAUAGUAAGGGAAGCCUAUUUUAUGACUUCCAUUCAAUUUCAGUGAGCACACAAAAGUUAAGUAGAAUGAUAUGCUCCACAUGCAAAUAUAAAUAGUUCCAUUGGAUGGAAAAAGAUGUGGUUAAAUAUCAGAAGAGAUAUUUCAAACAAAAUCGAAGGGUAAUCAACAGAAUCACAUAUACAUCUACACAAACUUACAUGACGACUUGUGCUUGCCGCUCUGCAAGUACGCUGCAAAAGGCUCCGUGUAUGUCAGGCAUUGGAGAACUGAAUUCAGAAAACAAGUAUUACCAAGAUUCGCCAAACCAGCACCCUGUAAGAUGCCGAACCUUUUCCAAUUUAGCUAGGAAAAUGAACAUUCCAGAUUUAGGGCCUCUUUGGACCACUUUUAUUUCUUUCAACAGCAGUAGUUUCUAGUAAAGCAUUUACUAAACGAAAAAAAAAAAGACGUAGAAAGAGCAUCUACUGCAGAAGAAAGCACAUAAAGAAUAAGAGUUGGGUCCUCAAAAGCAGAAGCUCCGAUCUGAUAAUUCUGACUGUGCUGUAGAAAGAAGCUGUUGAAGGUUUUCAUAUAGUGCUUCUCGUAAUAGCACAACUCAUACAGCAGUUCACCAAACAGCACGAUACCCUACAGCAAGGCCAAACAGGGCCUAGCUACAUGCCAAAUAGAUAUCAAUAAGAGACCACAUGAAUCAGCGCCGAAGCCCUAAAUUUGGUGAAAAUUGAAGCAUCAAAACCAUGUUUUAUACCAAUCUAAACAUGCAAACGAAGCGAUCGAACAAAUCGAGGCACAAAAUCCCAACGAAUAUUACGAAAAAGCCGAAAAGCCCCCUACUCACGAUUCUCCGGAAGGUGAUCCUGAAGCCGAGCUCCGGAUCCAACCCAUGCUCGUAGAACUCCCCGCCCUCCGAUCUCUUCCCCGCCGCAGUGGCCNAGCCGAAAAGCCCCCUACUCACGAUUCUCCGGAAGGUGAUCCUGAAGCCGAGCUCCGGAUCCAACCCAUGCUCGUAGAACUCCCGGCCCCCGGCGCUGAUCGGAGCCGGGGUUUAGAGUUUCGAGGCGAAAUCCGCCGCCGCCAAUCGCGCCCGACGCGGCGGCGGCGGUGGCGGAAGAGGGCUUCCGCGCGGGGUGGAACUCGAUCCUCCUACCGAAUAGCGACUCCACCGUGGGAGCGGGUGCGGCGACGACGGCGGCGGCAGCGGCGGAGGAAUCCUCCGCCAUGGGCGCCGAGAAGCGGGGGAUCGAACAGAGGUUUAGGGUUUUGGGUUAGGGUUUGCGGAUCGGGGAAUGGGGGAGAGGGGUCGGGGGAGAUGGAGAGAGAGAGAGGGUUUUUUGGGCGCCGCUUUUGUAGAGCAGGACGUUUUGCGCGUUUCGAUCCGUCGCUCUCUCGCUCUCUCUCGCCCUCUCUUAAUUGGCCGGUAGAGAAGGAGAUUUUUGGGAGGAGGGUGUGGAUAUAAACCCUAUACCCUCGACAAAUUAUCCCCUGGACCUGGUGUACCGAUAUACACGCACCGCAACUAGAGAUGUCAAUGGGUAUGCAUGCCUGAAAUUUUAUCGGAAUCCAAACCCGAACCCGAACGGAGCGAAUUUAUCUGAUGCUAAACAGCUAUGAUUCGAAUAUGGAUAUCAAAAAUAAAAAUCCGACGGAUAUAGAUUAGGAUAUGAAUUUUGACCGUACCCUACCCAAACCCGAAUUUAUUUUAUAUUAUAUAUAACAUGUAUAUACAAAUAUAGUAUUAUAUUUGAAUUUGUAUUUUAAAAAAUUUAUAUUUAAUGUAAUAUAUUUUGAAAUAUUGAAAAGAGAAAUAAUUGCUUCAGGUUCGAAUUUUCAGGUUCGGGUUCGAGUUCGGUUUCAAAUUUUUGGUCGGGUUCGGGCUUGGAUAUGGACUUUUAAAUCUGUCGGGUUCGAAUUCGGAUUUAGAGUUCGGUUUGGGUUCGGAUUUUUAAAAAUCUACCUCAAAUCCGACCAGUUGACAUCCUUAACGGCAACUAAUAUUUAGUGGCUUACCUUCUUAAUAUAAAAUCUAGCUAAAUAUAUAUAGUCGGAUAUCGUAGCUCCAUAAAAUAUAAUUUUAAAUUUUAAAUUAAAAUAAAUCUCAAAGAAUUUACAUGGAAACAUGCUGAUGAUGUUAUACAAUUAUGUAAAUUUUACUUUCUAUUAUAUUUAGAUUUGGUACAUAUACUUUUUGAAUUCAUUUGGAAUCAAAUUUAACUAAAUUUCAAUCAAAUUAGGGAUAGUAUUUAUUUAGAAAUAUAAAUUUUUUUAUUUGAAAAAAAAUAAUUAGAGUUCAUAAAUUUUAUUCUAUGUAAUUAUACCAAUAGAUUUUCAAAUGAUCUGACAGUAAAUUAUGAGAAUUGGAUGAAAAAUAUUUGUAUUAUAAGAAAUUCCAUCAUAUCCUUUCAAAUUAGUUAAAAUCAUAUUAGUCAAUGAUUCCAAUAAAUCGAUUAAAAAAUUAGUAUUUUAAUUCUCGAGAAAAGUGAUAACCUAAAAUACCCAGAGGGUCAUGUUUGUGAAAUAUUAUGACUUUCGAAAAUGUAUUAUUUAGGCAUAAUCUAUUAGAAAUGAGCAACUAAAGUUUUAUUUUCUUUUAUUUUGAAUUAUUUUAAAUUAUAAAAAUAGAUGUAAAAUUGAAUUUGGGUUUUGUAGGUAGGUAUUUUGGAGUACGGUGCACGGUGGACCGGGUGCACGCAACAAUCUCUUGAUUCCCUGUGGGAUUUGGCCCACGCGCCGACUGAUAAACGGCGAGGAUGGAUUUAGGGCGUGAUCUGAGCCGUCCAAUUAUCGUCCCAUGAGGCUUUUUUUAAGAGAGAAAAAAAAAAUAGCAAACUAUUUUUUUUAAUAGAAAUAAAAUCACCUCUAAAAUUUCAGUGAAUAUUAUUUUUUUAACAUUAAAUAUAUAGAAACCCUUCUAAACUUUAGUUCUCUUGCAAAUAGGCGCGCAAACUUUCAAUUUUAGUAAUUAUAUAUAUUUCUAAAAUUUAUCAAAUUAUUCAAAUUAUAAUGGAUUAUAAUUUUCGAUCCGAACUUUUUAAAUUAUCAUAAUAAAGUUUUACGCUACAAUUUAUAUUUAUUAAGUGGUGAUAAAUUGUCAAUAUGAUUGUAGCAUGAUUAAAAUUUAUGAUUCCCACACAAACAGAAAAGUUGGGGGACAGAAUUUCAGCGGGGAGUUAACUAAAAGACGCCUUAUCGGAGAACCUCUAAUCCACUACCAUAUGUUAAUUUUAUCUCUAUCUAAGAAUUCGUUGGGUGUUUAUUGAAUACUAUAUUCAAAAAAAAAUCUAGAAAAAAAUUAUAACCUUGGAUAGAAAUAAAACUGAUACAUGGAUCGAAUGGAUAGCUUAAUGUUGAGGGAUAAGGAUCGUAGUUGUAGUUAAAAACUACGCCCUACCAUCCAUUGAGCCAAACAGAGCCUAAGUACAAGUCUAGUUAAAACAAGUAGAAUAAAUAUUAAAUUAUAAAAUACAAAAGAUUUAAUACAGAUAUAUACUAAGCAAUUAUAAUUUGUCGGUGCUAAAAAAAUAAAUAUUUCAUAUCAUAGUGUGUCGGCAUACAGAUAUUUUGCGACCAACACAUAUCGACACAAAACUACACGUAUCUUACCGUAUUGAAUCGAUAAUUUUUCGGCAUUAUUCCGCACCACGGUGCUUAAAUUGUUGUAUUAGCGACAUGACAAAAAUGCAAAAAUACCCCAUCUAUAAGGACAAAAUUGGGUCGAGCCCAUACCGAACCUUUGACGAGAUGAGUGGGCCCAAUCCAAUUUUAGUGUAGUAUUUUACAUGGCCCAAUAGUUAGAUGGCCUCUGAGAAGAUAAGCCUUUUAGGUUAAAUUAGGGGCGGCAAAAAUUCGGGUCAAAACUAGAUUGAACAAUUAGAGUAGGACUUGUGUGCUAUUAGGAACACGGAGGUUUUCGUGCUCCUAAACCGUUUUCGAUGAUGGUACUUUUGAAUCGAUGAUCGGCUCCGUUAGACUUGAUCCAGCGUAUUUUAAAUAUUUAGACAAUAAUUUUUGUAGAUUUUCGAUAUCAUUUACCUAAGAAUCGAAAUGAUUCAAAAUCAACAAUUUUUAAUGGUUGAUGUAUGCCGUUCGUAAGUUUUACGGUGAGAAAGUAUUCAAAUCAGAUGAAAUUUUGAUAAAUUUUUUUUUUAUAUUAUUUACUGAAAGAUCAAUAUCUCUGAUACAAAAUUUUAGUGCUAUAUAAUUACUUUUUGCGAGAUUUUUUAUUUUCAGUCAACUCUUUCGAUUGCUAGGUAAAUGAUAUUGAAAAAUCGUAAAAUUUAUUUUCUAGAUACUUCAAAUACGCUAAAUCAAGUCUAACGGAACCAAUUGCCGAUUUAGAAGCUCUAUCAUAGAAAAUGGCUUAGGAGCAUAAAAGUCACCUUGCUCCUAAUAGCGCACAAGACCUACUAAAAUAAUUAUCAGGAAUGCUGAAUAUUAUUACUAUUUACUACAUCCAGAUUCAAUUCGUAUCUAAACUCCGGAUAACAUAUAUAUUCGUGUAAACCAAAUUUCAAAAAAAAAGAAAAGAAAAAAAAAGCAUAGAACUAAAAUUAUUUGAAUUUUAAAAUGAACUAUUUAAAAAGGUGAUGUAACAUAAUUCAACUUUACUAUUCAAUUGAUCUUACAAUUGAUAUUUUUAGUGGUUAAUAUCAGCUGAAUUUGUGACAAUUAAUCACCAGGUAGAUGCUGUUGUAAAUUCCCGAAAUUAGCUUCUUAGUAAUGAUGCGAGAGACCGACCAUCCCUAGGCCCUAGCGCAAGUGGCAAAAAGCUUGGUAGUUGGUACUCGAGGUCCUGAGUUCGAAUCCUAGUUGAUUUACAUUUCCAGCUAAGUUUAUUUUUAAAUAAAAUAAACGAAGCGGGUAGCGUGCUAUCUAUCUCUCAAAUAAAAAAAAAGAAAAAAAAAAAGAGAAAGAGGCGCAUGUGUGAGAAAAGGAAGAGGGUGCGAGAUACCAACAGCAGCGGACAAGGACAGAGAGGAGUGCGGAGUAGAAAACAACGUCAAGGACGAUACUAGCAGAGAGUCUAUCACCAAGGAUGACUUAACAAGCAUUGCAGAGUAACCAAUUAUUCCUAACACAAGUGAUAAAAAAUUUGAUAAUUGGUAUUCAAGCUUCUAAAUUCGAAUUCUAAUUGAUUUAUAUUUCCAGCUAAGUUUAUUUCUAAAAAUAUAAAUGGAGCAGAUAGUAUGCUACAUUUCUCCCUUAAAAAAAAAAAUAAAAAAAAAAUAAGCAUCGCAGCGUAGGCAGGCAAGGAAGGCGGUUGGUGGUGACUACAGGGAGAUCAAUGGAUGUCUCUUGUACGCAGAAGCAUCUCUUGUACGCAGAAGCACGAGAAGAGAGCGAGGGCAUUAGAUCGACCAUUAAGAGAGCAGAAAAGGUAGAUAAGGAGAAAUAGAAGGCAAGGUAGGAACUCACAACAGAGAGAAAUGAAAAAGUUAGAGUUAAUUUCAUACAGGACUAUAAAUAUAGUGAAUGACAAAUAUAUUUUUAUAAAAUUCAACUUUCAUAUAUUGUUCCUGUAAAAAUCCUAAUAUUUUCAAAUAUUUUCCUCUGGUUUGUUAUCGUUAGAGAACCGUUUAUAUUUUCAAUUUGUCUUCACAAAUAUAUCUAUCCAAAAGCCAUAACAGCAUAAUAUAAAAAAGUAAAAAAAUUAAAAAUUAACCAGAGUUAAGUAUUUAACCUAUAAUUAACUAAAGUUUUCUAACAGGUUCUAACGGCAGGGACGUAUUUGAAAAUAUCAGAAUUUUUAUAGAGACAAUAUAUGAAAGUUGAACUUUGUAAGGAUAUAUUUGCCAUUCACUAUAUACAAGGAUUUGUAUGAAAUUAACCCAGAAAGUUAUCUACCCCUGUGGCACCACAUUAUUUAUAUUUCCAACUAAUUAGCUUCGUGUACCACUGUUGUGGUUUCAUAUUUUCUCACUUUAAUUAGUACUUUGUGGUUUAAAAAAUAUCACUUUAGUAUCCCGUGGUUUCAUUUUUCUCUUUCCGUUAUCCCUCCAUUAGUUUUUCCGUUAUACAGUGAUAAAAUUAAAACCAUAAAAUACUAAAGUAAAAAUACGGUAAGCCGCACGGUAUUCAAGUGAAUGUUCAAUAAACCAUAUGUGAGAUAUUUAAAGUUUUUAUAUAUGAUUUAAUGGAGGCGCUGAUGGAAAGAAAAAAAAUAAAAUCAUGGAGUACUGAAGUGAGGUAUUUUAAACCAUAUGAUACUAAAAUGAGAAAGCACAAAAAUUACAUGAAUAAUAUUUUAAUUUUUUUUAACAAAAAAUUAUUAUACUGUUUUUUUCAGAAAAGAUAUUUGAUUUGCUUGAGAGUGAGACACAGUGACAUAGUGUCACUGCUACAUAAAGAGCCGUCUCCUAUAGAGAGAUACCAUUUACUGAUGCUAACAUGGUCUACUCCUUAAAAUCAAGGAAACCAGUAGUGCAAUUAAUCCUUAAUUUAUUGGACAUGUAUUGUAACCUUUGCAUUCAGUAAGUUGUACCAACCAGGACCAGGUUAGUGGUCACCUCAAAAUAAAGCUGCAAUGAAUUCUUCUUCUUAACUACAAAAAUCCUAUAAAACUAUCUCAAAUUUAAUACUACUAUAUAAUAAUAUACAGAGAGAGAGAGCAGGAUUACUGUGCUCUUAGGAGCAUGAAGGUCUUCGUACUCAGCCUUUUUUAUGAUGGAAUUUUCGAAUCGACUAUCUGCUCCGUUAAACUUGAUCUGACGUAUUUGAAGUUUCUAGAAAAUAAUUUUUAUGGCUUUUCGAUAUCAUUUAGCUAGCAAUCAAAAGGAUUUAACAUCACCGACUAAAAAUAAAAAUUCUAUAAAAAGUGGUGAUAUAGUACUAAAAUUUUCAAUUAGAGAUAUUGAUCCUGUUGUAGAUAGUAUAAAGAAUUUUGUAUCAAAAUUUUAUCUGAUUUGAACACUUCUAUACCGUUAAAAUUGAAAACGGCAAACAUCAAUUAUUAAAAGUUAUUGAUUUUAAACUCUUUUGAUCACUAGGUAAAUGAUAUCGAAAAAUUGCAAAAAAUAUUUUCUAGAAACUUCAAAUGCGCUAGAUCAAGUCUAACUGACCGAUCGUUGGUUCGGAAAUUCCAUCAUCGAAAACGGCUCAGGAGCAUGGAGACUUCCGUGUUCCUAAGAGCACAGCAGUCCUACUAUAUAUAUCUAUAUAUAGAGUUCGGCUGAGAUACUAUUGAUAGCACCAAGCAAUUGGUGCUAUCAAGUUUUCUGCCGUUAGAUUUAACCUUUUAAUUAUUUUCAACCGUUAGAUUAUACUAUUAAAUCAAUAACUCACUUAACCGAGGGGGCCGACAUCAUUCUAAACGUACGUUUUUUAAUCCAAGGGCCGAAAACCAGAUAGUACCAAAAGCUUGGUGCUAUUGAUAGUAUUCCAGCAUAGUUCUAUAUAUAUAUAUAUAUAUAUAUAUAGUUGGACUGGGCUACUAUUAGUAGCAAAAUCCUAUUGUUGCUAUCAGUUUUUUAACCUUUGGAUCAAUUCUUUUCAUUAUUUCUAACCAUUGGAUUAAAUAAUAUAACCCAGUAGGGACCACUCAACCCUAAGGGGACCACUCAACUCUAACCGACUAAUAUCAUCCUGACCCUACAAUUUUUCAUCCAAGGGUUAAAAACUUGAUAGUAAAAAGAACGUUUUACUAUUAAUAAUAUUUUGAGCCUAAUGUACUUAUAGAUUAUAGCUAGCGUAUAUAUAUAUUUAUAAUUAUAUAUUAUAUACUAUAUAGCUAGUAUAGUACUAUAUAUUAUAUAUAUAUAUAAUAUAUUAUAGUAAGCUACUUAUUAGUCACUAUGGAUCGGAAGCACGGAGCCUCCCGUGCCUUCAGCUGUUUUCGACGGUGUCGACUUUCGAAUCGAUCGUCGAUCAGUCUCCGUUAAACUGAUCUAGAGUAUUUGACAGUACCCUAGAAAUAAAUUUUAUUGAUUUUACGAAUCAUCUUGCCUAAAUGAACGGAGGGCUCAAAAUCAACAGGCUGAAACAUAAAAUCUUAACAACAAUGUAAUAAUAUUGACAGUAAAAUUUUUAAAAUCAAAGAUAUUGAUCUUGUUUUAUAUAGUAUUAAAAAUUUUCUUAAUCAAAUUCACAUCGAUUUGGAUAUAUUUCUACGACGUUAAACUUGCAACGGCUCACUACGGCCAUUGGAUUUGUUGAUUUUGAGGCCCAUUGCGAUCACUAGCGGCAAAUGAUAAUCGAAUACAUAAAAUUUAUUUCUAGGUUACUCCAAUACUCUUAAGAUCAAGUUUAACGGAGCCGUUAUCAACGAUUCUAAGUCGCCAACAUUAGAAAACGGUUCGGAAGUAUGGAAGGCGUCCGUGCUUCGAUGCCAUCUAGUUAGUCUCAUCUCUCUCCUGCUCUUUCUCUCUCCUCUCUUCUUCUCGUCUCUCUCUCUCUCUCUCUCUAUAUUAUAUAUACUAUAUACUAUAUCAUGUAUAGGAUAUCAUAGUAUAUAUACUACUCUAUAAAGCGAGUCGUGAGUUUUGAAUUGUUUCCUUUUUCAAAAAAUACAUCUAUCUUUUUGAGCUAAUAAUUUUCAUGUCAGUAAUUUUCAACCAAUCAUUUCAAAUAAUUCACUAAGUAAUAAUUUAUUCUCAAAUAAAGAUAUUAAUUUUUUGCCAUUAGAUCUUAUUUAACGAUUGAAAAUAAAAGUAUCUGUCACUUUUUGUGACAUUAAUACCCUCCAUAUCCGUUAUCUCCUAUAUACGCCGCGUUUCUCAAAUAUUUUCUUUUUACCCAUCAAUCAUGUAAUACGUAAAACUAAAUUUAUCUCUUAUCUAAUGUAAUACCUACCAAUCACAUAAUACUUCCGCUAAUUACGUAAUACGUAAAAUUAAAUUUAUUUCCUAUUAAUGUGUUUUCUCAAAUAUUUUUUCUUCUCAAACGUAAUACCUGCCAAUACGUAGUAUUCAAAAUUAAAUUUUAAAUUUGUAAUACCCGCCAAAAUUUAAUACCCUCGAAUUUGAUAAUUUGAAUUUUAAUUUAUAAUAGUAGAUUUUUUCUUACAUAAGAUAGUAAAUUUAAUUUUGAUAAGUAUUAAAAUUUGGCGCAUCACAGAAGCGUUAAAUAUUGUCAAAAAACUUUUAAUACCCUCAAAUCAAACUAAAUCGUUAAUUAAAUAUAAUUUGAAAUAUUUUUAGCAAAAUAUUCAAUAUUUAAAUAAUGCGUCAUAAAAGUAUAGAAUAUUUCAAUCAAAACUAAAUCGUUAAUUAAAUAUAAUUUUAAAUAUUUUUAGCAAAAUAUUUAAUAUUUAAAUAAUACCCACCGAAAUAUUUAAUAUUUGAUCUCAUUCUAACCUAAUUGGUAGGUCUACGAACGCAUCGGUGCGCUUGGUUCGGCGAUACGACGAGCGUGCGCAAAGAUAUUGGAGAAAGAAGCAGAAAUAGUACAGAUCGUCGUAGCUCGCGGUGAACAAGUCUAAAAAUCGUGAAAUCGAAUCUACGGCAUCCUUGUGACACAUAAAGGUGGGGGAUGCUAUCCGGAAACACCGGAUCUCUUUCUAUGUCUAUAUCCUUUCUUUUAGCAUGUUGAUAUUAUCGCAUUUUUGCAUGUAGGGUAGUGAGGGUAAUGAACGGCAUAUGUUGGUUGUAACAAUUAUCUGCGUAAAAUUAUUGUAAUGAUAUAGAACCAUGUGGACAAAGAUAGUGAAAGACCCUAUAUGCAUGUGAAUGUGGGAAAUGACUGUGACCGUAGUAAACAAAGGCGACAUUGACAUUAGUGACUCGAUUGACAUCGAAAAGAGAAUAGUGAAACAAGGUUUAACCUAAGUGACGCUAUGUAUACUGUGGCAUCAGGACCACUAUGAUAUCGGCAAAUGAAAGUAUGUGCAUGAAUAGGUAUUGACCAUUCAUCAGCAUUGAGACAGUGAGAAUUGUGACAGGUUGGCCAUACCUCCUCAAAUUUGAGGAUGGGAUCAUACUCACAUGUAUUAGUUCCGGCUUGUGCGAGGUCGCUCCUCCGCAAGUGGUGUACUCCGGAGAAGAAAAGCACCACGGGUGGACGUGCCCGGCGAAGAUCCUUCGGGUGGUUGUGCCUUGUGCCUCCCCCGUUAGACGGGAUAUGUGGACUGUGAGUUGGGGUAAACCAGGAGCACCCCAGGUUGAUUUGGUAAAGGCCAAAGGAAAGUGAAAAGGACAUGCAUGCAUAAUAAUCAUGUAUUUGUAUAUGAAUAUCUAUCUGUGGAUUGUUUCUUGCAGGUAUUGUAUUAGAAGUGCAUUAGUUGGUUUGUUAUUCUUCUUUAUUGAAAUACACAUGCCUGAAUUAGACCUAGUGGGCGAAUCGACGUGGUCGGCGGCCGAACCCACUGGGAACUUCGUUCUAGUUCUCAUUACCACUAACCCUGUAGAUCCGUACGCGAGCGGGGUGGCGGAGGAUCGAGGCAAGGGGGUCGCGCCGUAGAUAGCGGCCUCGGAGUUAUAUAGGCAUACCCUACAUUCGGUGUACUCAACUUUUGUAUGUUGAAAUAGUAAGGUGAAAAUGAUGUAAUGUAAAGAUGAUGUAAAUUACCUUUUGGUUAAAGGAAAUCGUGAUGUAAAUGGAUAUAAAUGAAUGUAAUAGACUACUUGUGUUUGAUUUAAAUGAAAUCAAAUGACAUGUAUAUUGGAUGAUUAGUUAGUUUCGAUGCUUUCACUGUGGUUGUUGUUUGCCCUCGUGUAAACCUUGUAUAUUUCGCAAUUCUCUUUUGACUUGCUUGUAAUAUACUUGUUGUUGAAGCCUUAGGCGGACAGGAAAGGUACUGUCCUUUCGGCGUCUGUCAUGUGCUCAAAUCCGACCAAAUUGGCGAAGCUCGGGGCGUGACAAUUUCAGUUUUCUUAGAUACUGUAGGAAUGGUUGUCCAAAUCAAUCACUCUUUAUUUGUAUGGUGUUAAUCGUCCUAAACAUGAAGGUAAAGUGUUUUCCUUUUUAUCAUUUCACAUGAAAAAAAUUAUUAAUAACUAAUUAUUUGAAUGGAUUGAAGUAUGAGUCAAAUUAGAUUUAUCCUCUAGAACAAGAUAGUGCUAACACACAUUGGCAUGUGGAGAGGGACUAUUGCAAACAAUUCAGUUGUUAUAUUAACAGCAGUGCACGUUAAUAUCGAUAAUUAGGAGAAAUAUACUUUUUAAUAUUUUAUUUUUUCUAUAGUAU